Gallus gallus (chicken) is the source of this 67454-nucleotide long non-coding RNA. RefSeq lists it as uncharacterized. The record is from RefSeq and is a predicted model, not a curated record. NCBI's taxonomy places the organism in Eukaryota, Metazoa, Chordata, Aves, Galliformes, Phasianidae. The transcript is spliced from 2 exons.
GGGGGAGAAGGGGAGGGUUGAGGGGGAAGGCCAAAAAGGAUUGCAUCCACAAAUGUAAUUUGUUCCUUCAUGUGAUGAAUCAGGUUCCAGGUGCUUAUUCAAAAGCCACCUCAGUAGAAGCUUUGCCUGUACCUACGCAAAGGCUUUUUUCUUCUUUUUCUAAUAACUAUGAUAUUUAAUUUUGCUUUCCUAGUAUUUAUUAGAUGGCUAUGCAGUAAAAAAAUAUGAAUAGAGGAGAUUUAAUUAAGGAUUGCUACAGCUGCUGAGCCUUAGAAGACAAAAUACUGUAGUAGUGAGGACUGUGAAGUACCUCAAUAAAAGGUAAAGUGCCCAAUGGAGGAAUCAGCGUUGCCACUUAAAAUAUGGUAGCUAAAGAGGAAAAUUAGGAGGGUUCAAAGAUUCUUCUGUAUUCUUGCCUUUCCUAAAUCACAGUCUUCAAUAAUACAAGUGCAUGUAUAUCAAAGAAAAAAGGAAAGCAGAAUUGAGUAGCUUCUCAAACAGCUCUCUAAGGCCUGCCAUAUCUAAAUACUGAGAAUAGAAAUUGCCGAAUAAAAUUAAUACAGCCUGUUUGACAAAUCAUAUGCUGAUUUAUUUGAGUUUUAAUGUCCUGCGGGAGGGUUAUGUGGUAGAGAAAACAACUCAAAAAUAAUAGAAAUCCAGGAAACAUAUUGAAGAACUUUGUUAUGCAAGCAUGCUGCAUUUCAGGAUGUGUUGAUUGGACAGACCAAUGCCUGUAGUUUAGGAACUAAAUUUCAACUGAGUAAAUAAUAUUUCAUAUAUCCCUUAAGAUGUCUGACAUGUCAACCAUACAAAUUAGUAAAAUAAAUGUAAAUUUGAAGGAUAGCUACAAUUGCAGUCCAUGUUGAAAGAAUAAUAACAAAUGUAUUAUUCACCACAGCACUACUCUCUGGGGAUGUGGUAGUGCUGUAUCUACAUCCAGAAACACAAAAAGAAAGGAUGUAUUUUAGGGACGUACUCCUGAUUAUGGUUAGCUCUCUCUUCUUACACAACACAGCCUUUAUCCUGUGUACCUUUUGUCUUUGGCAGACCUACUGUGUCAGGAAAAUCUAUAACCCUGUUGACAAAGAAGCCAGACUGCUGUUGAAUCUGUCACUUUAUUAGACUGUAAGUGAGAUCCCUUCCUUGCACGCUAUGUCCAAACAAUCCUUGGCCUGCUGUUUUGGGAAGACUCUUAGAGUGCAGAGAAACCAUCUGUAACAGCAGGCAGACAUUCAGUGGAUGGAGGUAAAAUGGUGGGAAAAUAGAAUUGGGGGACAAACAGAGGAGAAGUGGGAAAGUUUAAGAACCCUGUGGUCUCAUCAUUCUCAGUUCACUAUCCGUAUCUACACAAUGCAUUUCAUAGGCAUAAAGUUCAGUCUGAUAAUGUGAAAGGCUAAUGUGAGAUGCUAUUGUACUCAGUCUGUAUGUUUUACAAAUUAUGAAACCCAAAGAACAAUCCCUAAAGUGUGGUUCUGUUACUGUACAGAAACAUCUACAUCUUGACUUAAUGGAGAUGUAAUCAUAUGCUCCUCAAAACAGAUAAAAUUGAACCUAAUGCACUUUUUAUUUAUUUAUUUAUUUAUUUUAAGAUUAACCUUACUUCCAAAGAAAGGAGGAAAAUAUGAAACUAACAGUAUAUAUACAGAGGCAAAAGCAUGGAUCCACUGGGUGUACCUGUGCUGCUGAACAGGGAGUGAUGAAGCAACCUUGUGCAUUUCCCAAGCUUGGAUUGCUCUAACUCCAUCUCUUAAAGACCAAAUUGGGUACUGGGUGGAGAGCUAAUCUGCUUCAAGAACUGCUUCAAAAAGGUUCUAUAGACAAAACCACAGCAGGAUGUACUCUUCCUACAUUACACAGUCAGUUAAGAACAUCGCAGAAGGCUUUGUGCUGGCAUAUACAUUUGCCUCCAGUUUCUUGAUCUGAAGGACCAAUCUUCUGAGCUGCAAAUAGUCCCUGCAUUAUGCUGUGUAACUGUGUCCCAGCAAAUUGUAUGGUGGAAGAGAUAGUGACAUGUAGGUAAACAGUUGUGUGGCCUCACCCAGCUCUGGAGAUCGUUAGCCUCAGGCAAAACAGGUAUUAGCCAUGCUUUGCCUUUGCUUUUCAGAGCAAGAGGUCUUUGACCAAGUGUUUCUUGCCCCAGUCUUGAUCUGGAUCUGAGGAAACCGAUUGUAAAUAAAAAGUUGAUCCUCCUCUGUCAGGAUGCAUAGUGCUUUCCUUUAUUCCAUGUGUCUUUUCCCUGGUGGAUGGUGCACCUUGCAUUUUCCAGUUUUGUGUUUGUCUUGUUACACAGGCAACAUGUGCUUGCACAAACACACACACAAAAGGUGUUUAACUGCUGUUUCUCUCUUUUCUCCAAAACCAAGAAAAUCUUUAACAGAACAUAAAGGAGAAAAUGUUGCUCAUAUUACAGGGAGGUUAGAACGUGUCUGUUUUCAAAUAAGAGUCACUGUGUGAGCUUAAAUCCUGCUGUGCCUCCAGAAGUCUUCUAUUUUAUGAUUUCAGUUCAUCUACCUUUUUUUUUUUCCUGAGAGAGAUGUUCUCUUUAUCCAAUGCCUGUAAAACACCCUUUUCCCCUGUUUUGAUAGUAAAUAUUUGGUGGCUUUCAUUUCUGAAAAAACGUGGCAGCCAUUGGUCCUCAGGUUCUGCUUUCUGAACAACACCCACAUAAGAAGAUUAAUAUGUAUUUUUCCUUUUGGAGGUUGAAAUGGGCUCACCUUUUCUUUCACAAGAUUGCAUUUAAUCAAGCAGCUGUGUGUGUUUGCUGGGUUUCAGCUGUUUUGUCACUCCAUAUGAUCAAGCUUCUUUAAUCUUCAGAGUCAUAUCCAAGGAAGAUGAAUUAUGCUGAUGCUCAGGUGUCUUUAAAAAAAAGCUCUAACAGAUUGAAUUUAGUCUCACUGAAAAUUCUGGAAAUCACAUUAUAUUGAAUGACUUUUAGGCAGGCUUGGACAAGAAUUUUCCUGCAUCGAGUUUUGCCGUCAGAGAUCAGCAGUUCCUCAAAAGCAAAGAGAAAGUUUUCAGGAAAUGUAUUUCGUGUGCAGUUGAUGGAGCUCAAUAAGAAACUGACAUCUACCAGUAAGUUGCCUGCUUUUUCAAGUUCAAUUAUGUCUUACUUUUCUGCCUGUUAGUAGAGCUGAUCACUGACUCAGGACUGUUUCCCUGAAUCUCUGCAUUUAACAUUUUAGAGCUCUGAGAGAAGGGAUGAAUGUAUACCCAGGAAUAAUUGGUGGAUAAACACUUGAUAAACUAACUUAGAAGUGUGGUUUUCUACUUAUCAACUCUAUGCAACAGCUUAAUUAUUUGAGUUGGGAACGACUGUGAAGUUUUAAUGAGCAAUCAAAAGUAUAUAGUUCUGAUUCUCUUACUUUAUUUUACUUCUAACUGGAGAGGAAUGCAUCCGUGCUUCAUGUUGUUGAACUGGAGACGAAUGAGAAUACUUCUAAUAAAUUAAAAAAUAAGUUUCAUUCCUGUAUUCAAAGGGGAGCUUAAUGAGUUUUUCGCACAGUAAACAGUAGUGAGUUUAUGAACAGUCCUACCAUGCUUGCGGUGAAGGCUAUGUAAAUUACACUGAUGCAUAUUUAUUCAUUUACUUCUUGUGGGAAUAGAUUUAGGGGGCUAUAAGCAUAUAUCAGAAUUUGUUACAGGGAAGGAAACUUAUGAGGAAGGCUUAUUAUCCCAAGAGUGGAAUUAAGGUGAAAUUAACAAGUAAUUGAAGUUAUCUUUGAUCAUGAUUUUUCAUUCCCUUCUUUUCCCUGCUCUGAGGAAGUGAAUAUUUUUGAUGUUCAGUAGAGCAGUACAAUGCUGCACAGAGAAGCAUAAUGCUGAAUUUUCAUAAUAAUGUUUGUAAUGCAAAUGAGGGACACUUCAAAAACAGGUUGAUUAGCAUUUCUUAAUAAAAUGCCAGUCUCCUCCUUUUUCUUCAUUAGUUCUAUCAGCAGAUUACAUGGCAAGAUUUUAACAUUAGUAAAUUUGAAGUGUGUGGUGGCUUCUUGUGAUAUAAUUAUUUGGUGGCUCUAAAUAGUUUCAGAUUGUGCGUUUAAAACAGCUCCUGCAGCACUAAGGCAUUACAGUGAAUUAAUGAGCAGUUUGUCACCUCUGGGACCUUUGCUUUGAAAUCCAGUCUGGCUUAAAGUGAACUCCUACCAUUGCAGGCCAGCAGCUGGUAAAAGGUUAGAAAAUGAAUGAGCUCCAGGGACAUCACUGAACUUCCACAGGAGCAUAUAUUUACUUUAGAGCUGCUUUUCAGAGAUCAAACCAAGGGAAGUAGAGCGCUGCUGUGCAGUUCCUCCCAAAGACAGCAUCAGCCAGCCAGCGUAUUCCCCAUGGCACUGCUCACUAUGUGCUCUCCUUUGCUUUCCUUUUCUACGAAGGGAGGCAUGGCAAUGAAAAAGCUUGACCAAAUGAAUUGCAUUCUCUUUCCUUUGUGUCAUUUAUUGGUUUUCCCCUUUUUAAUUGCCAUGCCUUCCUCCUUCCUCCUCGUCGUGUGCUUCAUUUUAAGUCAUUUCUCCUCCUCUUCAUCUCCUAAGUCCUGCUUUCCCCAGACCAUGUGCUUUUUAUAUUGACCUCUUCCUCUUUUGUUUCUCAAUGGGAGACCCAACAAGCUAUCUCAUGUUCCACACCGGGUGCUUUGUUCCUCCCCUGCUAGGCACCUGUGAGGAGCUAUCCUUGGCUCCUUUCUUCCCCAUUAGAGAGACUUCUGAGAGUGAAAGGGCCCCUCACUACAAGAAAGGACACCCUGGAGUGUGUCCAGAGAAGGGCAGCGGAGCUGUGAGGGCUCUGGAGCACAGUGUGAUGGGGAGCGGCUGAGGGAAGCGGGGCUGUUCGGUCUGGAGAAGAGGAGGCUCAGGGGAGACCUCCUGGCUCUCUGCAGCGACCUGAAAGGAGGCUGUGUGAGGUGGGGUCGGCCUCUGCUCCCAGGGAACAGCCGUAGGACGAGAGGGGAUGGCCUGACGUUGUGCCAAGGGAGGUUCAGGCUGGCUGUUAGGAACAAAUAAUUCCUUCUCCCAAAGAGUGGUGAGGCAGUGGCAUGGGCUGCACGGGGGGGUAGUGAAGUCAUUGUCCUCAGAGCUGUUCAAGGAACAUGUGAAUGUGGUACGAAGGGACAUAGUGUAGUGGAUAACACUGGUGGUAGGUGGAUGGUUGGACUAGGUGAUCUUAGAAGUCUUUUCCAACCUAAAUAAUUUUAUGAUUCUAUGAAAUGCUUGUGGUGCUCCUUUGAUUUUAGAGGAGAAGCAGGGGAGAUGUUUUGUGAGCUUUUAAAUUCAGAGCAUUAGUAAGAGCAGUUGGUGAGCUGAAGUCUUUUCUCAGUUUUGAUUCCACUUGAAUUUCUAUCUGUGACUGCGUAAGGAAACAGCAAGCUGAGUACAGCAAGAUGAGUUUUUGGAGACAGCAUUUAAAUAAUACAUGCAACUUAUGAUUAAGCAUAGCAGGUCUUCAGAUUGUACAACUGAACUUCAGCAUUCAAAAGCCAUGGAAGAAACACUGCUGUCCCUGGAGAAGCACUGAAUUAAGGAUACUUUAAUCUCUUCUAAUUUUACUGUUUUAAUGCUGUCUUGCUAGUGCUUUCCAAAACAAGGCUACAUCAUUGUAAUCAGACCAUUUAACUACAUAUCAUAACCCCACUUCUUGCUUCUUCCUAGACCUGAUGCAAGAUUUUUUCCUUGCGAAAUUUGAAUGUAGAAAAAGUGUAUAACACAUCCUCUUAUUAAGAUGAUCUUGGAGUCUCAUCUUUGUUAGUAAAUCUCUUGACAAUCUUCCUCCUUUCAUGUGUAUUGAUUUGGAUUAGGCAAUUCAUCAAAAGCUUGUUAUUAGUCAUUCUUUAGACCUUGUGUGUCAGACAGUCACUUCUCACUUUCUCUGCUUGUGGAUUACAGCACUGCCAUCAGCCAAAGCUCACUGCAUGCCAGGCAGCCCUAGCCUCUGAUUUCACUGUGAGCAUCACAGGGAAACCGUGCGUAGACCUCCGCUUUCAGUACUGUAGUUUAAAUUUGGCAUUUGGAUUAAAACAAUGAUUUGUGCUAUUGAUGACUGCUUAAGCUCUGUCAUUGAUAAUUGAGUCAGCUCUUCACUGUUAUAAAAAUAAAUGUAGCUUCAAAAAGCUACAUACUUUUACAAGCCAACAGUUUACUUUAUUUUCUGUCCAGCAAGUUGCACUAUUGGCAAUUUCUGCCUUCUUUUUUUGACUUUUGAGAGAGGGAUGUAUAUUAUCCCCAAAAGAUUGUAGCUAAAUGAAUUGGGGAAAUUAAUGUGUGGAAAUAUCUUCUUUGAGAUAAAAAAUUGUCCUUCUGCAUCUCAUCUUUUGUUUUCAGUUUUGAAUUAGAACUACAGAUAAAUCUAGGUUGGAAGGGACUUCUGGAGGUGAUCUGGUCUAUUGGAAGCCUUAGGUUCUAUAGAUUCUAUAGAUUAUCGGAAUAUUGUGAGUGGCUCCUAUGUACCUUUCUUUUUUAGGCUGAAAAGUAUGAAGGUCUUUCAACGCUUUUCAUUUAAGUUAUUCAAUUUUCUCAUCAUUUUGGUGGACCCUUCACUGGACCCUUUCCCGUUUUUCAGUAUCUGUCUUGAAAUGGAGGACCAAAUAUGGAUGCAUUAUACAAGGCACGUCCGCGCAAGUGCUGAACAGAGUGCAGUGAUCACACGCCUUGACCUGCUGCAGGCUGGGACAUGCAUUGUCUUCAUUGCCUCAAGGGUGCUCUGCUGACUCACAUGUAGCUUGCCAUCUGCCAGCACCUCCAAGCACUUUACAGCAGAGCUGAUUUUUGGACUCGUACAACUGCGAUUUGUACAGCUGGUCCUUAUAUCAACUAUCCUCUGCUACAAAAGGCAUCUCUAGACUUUCUGCGUGGGUCAUAUUGGGUCAUGGCUAUUGCAGCGGGAAGCGCUGGGAGCAAAUUAGGUGUAGAUGUCUUCAGAGAGAUGACAGGAUGUGUACACACACAUACACACCUCACCUCAGUGCUCUGAUAGUACCGAAGUGGAACUGGUGUUUUAAUUUCUUUAAGCCUUCAGGAGCAAUCUGCUUUUUUCAUCUGAAAGAUAAUGUAAGAGCACAAACUGUUCUUAUGUUGCGAAAAAAAAAUAGGCCUGCCUGGCCUCAAAUACUCGCUUCUGGAAGUGCUGCUCACCCCUACCGGGCUUUCAUUGAACCCAGCCUCAAAUCCAGAGACAGGAAAUUUGCCUCCCAACCUCAGCCUCCCUUGCAGGCUCAUGGGCUCACCACCAGCCCCGCAAUGUGGUCUCCAUGCCAGACCCUAUCUGUUCCAAUCUGUUGGGGCGGACCUGCUGUACCCUUGCAGGGCCUCACUCAGCAAGGCAAGGCGAGAGAGGGCAGUGAGAGGAUGCACUGCACAGCCUCCCUACCCACCACCAGUUGAGCUGGCUCAUUCUUGGCUACUGUUACCAGUAGUUCUGAUACCCAGUUUUUGGGUUCUAGAUGGCAGACAGUUUCUGUUUUGCUCUGUCAACAAUUAUGCUGCAGAUGAAUACUGCCAGAGUUUCGAUCAGUUACCAAUCUGACACUGAAACCUGUUUGCUCAGUAGAAGCAGGGUUGCACGCUCUUCUGUGUUAAGGUGAAAUGGCUAAAAGAGUUGUUGGAGAAUCAGCUGGCUCAGGAGGGGAGGUUGGGAAUGGAGGACUGCCAGGGCACAGCCGCUGACCAACAGAACUGGUGCUGUAGCUGCAAGCCUUGAUGAGCUGUGGGAGUUGUCCUGUGUCUGGCUAGGUUUGCAACAUGACACACACAAAAAAAAGAUAAAUCCUUAAAGAGAGAGAUGUAAUUGCAGCUAUUAUUGAUUGUGAAGUGCUUUAUACCUUAACUACUUCUAGAGCCUGUGGAUCUAUCAAUGCCCAGUACCACUUGACCACAAUUACAUAGGACACUUGAUAGAUGGGUGAUAUGGGCCAACCUGUCUGUUCAACCUGUGGGCUCUUUAUGUGAUUGGAUUAGGUCACCUCCUAAUAGGAUUUUUUUCUGUAUCACAAGUCAGACACAAUACAGUGUGAUGAGAGAAGAGCAGCUAGAAAGAAUGCUAGCAUGGCUGGUUGUAAUAAAAUGGAAAAUCACUUUUUCAUAGGUUAUCACAGUAAUUUAUUUUAACAAUUAAAAAUUAAUUCAGUAUGGAAUAUAAUAGAAAGAGGUGAUAGUGUUGCUGUGAGUCAGAGCCAGGAAAUUUUCCUAGCUCCUCUUAAAGUCAAUGGAAAACCAAUAGAUGAUCACUGUGGAGUCUGAUAAAUUGAGAGGCACUCAACAUAGAAUUCUUAUUAGACUUUCAGAACUUAACUGUAUGUCUGCUUUGAGUGGCUUUUUACUUAUCAAUGAAAAAAAGGAAAGUGCCUAAACAUGGCAGGCUUUAACUUUGGCUUGAAAGGACAGUAUCUUAGCCAGGUUAUUAACAUUCACCUUUCAGCAAUGAUUUGGUCAUAUGGCUUACUUUAGAUAAAUCUUCAUCGGAUAAAGAAAAACAAAACCCAUUUCUCUGAUAAUGAUAAAAGCCCGGUACCCUUUGACAGUAAUAGAGCGGAAAUAUUCUGUUUUGCCUUUGCUUAAAGUUUCCAAUUGCUCUUCUCUCUCUUUCCUUCAAUCUGAAGAUAAAAUACAUGUUGAGUUAUGCUCACAUAGUUUGAUGAAGGCAAAAUUUCAAAAAGGUAAAUUAUCAGAAAAAGAGCUAAUUUGAUUGAUAUUGGCAGUCCUACUGAAUGCAUCUCUGUGCUUCCUGAUACUAUGGCUAGAGAAAGUCAGCUGGUCCCUAUAUCUUUUCCCAAGAUGGUACUCUGAUUCUGAAACUGCAACAGAGGUUGGCCCAGCACCCAGAGCCUAUCUGCUGGAUCCUCUUCCACCUUGUCAGUUAUGGAAAGAACAAAGAUGUUGUCAUAUUCUCAUCAUGACAUCAAAUAGAAUCUGAACUGCAUUAUUUACCCUGACCAUGCCCUUACGAGGGCCAGGCAGAAAUCUGUUAAAGGAUGGCAGUUGCUUGACCAAAGUGGAGAGAGAGAGACUGAAAGUAUGGUCAUGAAUUUGAUCCUGAAGUUAUAGGAGUUCUGGAAUGUACAGAACAGAUAGGUAAUGGAUUGUAAAUUCUUCCUAAGAAUAAAUUUUAUUAAACAAAAUAAACCCCUCUAUUUAGUUCUUUCUGUGACUCAUUUAGAUUGGAUUUUCAGUAAGGCUUACGUGUAGGCUAAUGACCGAAGUGGAAGAUGAGUUUGCUACUGGUGAAUAGGAAAUUGUAUCUGGAAGAGGAUGGUAGGGUGUGGGAUCCAUUUCAUCAAUUUUGUAGGAAAUUAAGUUUUUAAUUAAAAUAAAAUGAAUUUAUCUUCCUAGAGAUAGGCCCAUAGAGGCUUAUGUUUGGGAGAUGAUCAGCAAACAUCCACAAACAGAUGGCUUCCUUGUUUCUUUACUUAUAACCAACACAAGCAGAGAAAAAAAUCAGUCUUACUGGAGCCUUGUUGGGGAGCUGUAGAAUGGACAAGCAUCAGGUGUAUGGUGGGGAGAGAUCCUGCUGCUCAAAACUGCUGAGAAAGCCAGGGAGCGAAGGACCUACAGUCAGUGGUAGAAGAAAACAAAUGAGGUCAGAAGAGCACUAAGCUGAGGUCAAUAAGUUAGACUGGUUUGCCUCAUUGACGUAUCUUUUUCACAAAAGCUACUCGUUUUGUUGGAAAAUUAUAUUUGCUGUCAGCUGGUGCUAGGUAGAUAUUUGAGAGUGCUCAAACCCUCCCCCUCUCUUCAUCCCAUGCCUUUACUUCUCCAAAGCUGGUAACCCUGCAGAUGUGCCAGACACAUAAAAACUGCAUUUGUCCAUGAAGAAGAAGGGGAAAAAAGUUAAGAUUAAAUAGUGUUCACUACUGCAAUUCAGAGUGUGCAGCUGGAGGUGGCAGACAGAAAGUGGAAGAAUACAAAUAAACCCCCAUUUGCAUUCAGAAAAGUAUGAAGAGAGAUUUUUUUCUUCAGAACUACCAGAUCCUAAGAGGUGUGCAAGCUGUGCAGAAAAGAAAGAUUGAGGGCAAGACAGGGCACAGACCACGAAUGUCAGUUAGGUUAAAAAAAUAUGGUGGUAUGGUGGAAGGGGAAAAAAAGAAAAAGAAUAUUGAAGGGAGGCAUUGUUGGAAGAGAAAGGCUGGCAGUGGAGAGCACUCUAAUGCAUUGAGGUAUUGAUCCAAAAAUGCCCUGUAAUUUUUGCUAGGCGAGAUGUCAUGCUUUAGUUUCCUUGGAGCAUACAGGUACAAGAGUUUCAAAACAAUUCAGAUCAAGAGGGGAAAAAAAAAAAAAGGAUCUUAAAUCUAGUGAAUCUUCUGUUAUGCUGUAAAUCCAAACUAGGUACUUGAAAUGCAGUCCUAGACUGGGGAUUACCAGGAUCUGGCACUGCAGAUCUAACUUGCUGUGGUCAUCUGUAUUCUGAAAGUUGAGUUCUUCCUGUUGUAUGCAGGCAUUUAGGAAAUGCCCCCAACUGACCCAUUUUUUUUUUGUAUGUAAAAGUACUGGGGUGAGAUUAUUACAAAUAUAGAAACUUAUUUAAAUCAUAAUGCAAAAAUAUUCUUCGAGUUCAGUCUCAAUCCAAAAUAGUUGCUGAGCCUUGAUAGUGACUUAAAGGCAAGCAGUGUGGAACCAUUUGCAGUGAAUAAUGUAUUAAGAAGCGGUCGGAAUGUGAGCUGUUUACUCAAAUACCUGUAUUGAUACAAACCAAACUAGUGAAGUUGCUGGGAAGAAUGUGGAAUGUCACAAUGUGGUCUGAUGCAGUACAAAUGCAGGUUUUCUGUGUUCUGUUUGCUUUGCACUUUACACUCAGUUGUUAAUAAUUUUUUUAGAAGUUGCUUUUACGUGGGCAUAUGGGAACUCCAAGUGGUGCAUGUUUUUCACUCAUUCCAAUGUUUCUUCAUGCCAUGCUCCAAAAAACCUGCACAUAGCUGCCUGCAAUGUGCUGAGAGUUGAGACAUCAGGAAAUGUUCUGAGUUUCUAAAUACUGUGCAGAGAUUGAAGCAGUGAAAACAAUAAAGCUUGCGUCACAGCAUAAUGUGAUAAGAAGGAAAAAAAAUUAGAGUGGUUCUUCAGCAUCUUCUUUCUGGAGGUAAUGGCUGACAAUAUAUUUGAUUAUGUCAUUAUACAGAUUUGCUGCUUAUUGUAAGGGCUGCGUCUGUAUCAUUCACAUACAGCGAGAAGAGCAUCGCAGAUCUUUGUGUUCUCAACUGCAAAACUAAACAGAUUCUGUGCCCACUGGCGAAGGCUGAAGUUGCCAUUGACAAAUGUGUACAAUAUGAAGAAACUUGGGUUUUGUACUUUCUUACAGCCAAGAUUCAUACGUUAAUGUUUUGAAGAACAUAUUAGAGUGUUGCCAAAAUGCCCUUUUAAUAAUCUUACUCAUGACUCAACAUGUUUUCAAAUAUUUAAUCUGUCUUUUGCAUUUUAGUAUGGAACUUAAUCUGUUAUGUUAUUAAUAUCUCUUCAGAUACACAGAUACUCUUCUUCACAGAUGCUUACAUGUACAAUGGAAUGUUGUGUUACUUAACCAUAAAACUUGGACUCCAACCCCAAGGCACAGAUGCCAAAUCAAAGGCAGCAAAUUAGUGACAUACCAACUCUAGGAAGAUUUUUAUGAAAAAUCUCUUUGUCAAUUUAAUUGGUCACAAUUCCUCGUUUUGUUAAACUAGAUAGGAAAAUAAAAUAGAAAAUCAACCCUCAUUUGGAUACUGCAGGUAGGGUGGUUUUUGAGUAGGUUGUUCUUUUUUUUUUUUAUCAACUUGUUUCUUUUUGUGUAUUAUUUAUUGGAGAAAGACAUAUAAGGUAAGCUAACAAAAAAACGGGCAGGUCAUAUAAGGGAGCGAAUAGAGUUCCCUUCCAAAGGACUGUGAUGAAUAGUGGGCAUGGGCAGACAAAGUGCUUGGUAGUGCUCAAUGUGAUACACAACCUCACACUUUAAGAAGCAUCCUUAAUCCUGACAGCUGUUCAAAAAAUAUGAUAGAGUCAGACAGCAGGGAAAAAAAAACUGAGUUUUCUUAAAAUUCCUGCUGUUAGCCUCUGAGCCCUUUUGGUGCUGUGGUACUGUCUCUAAGGAUGGAGCUCCAUGGCUCUGUCUGGUGUCUGUGGGAUGUGCCAGCAGGGCUGGUGAUGGCAGGGUCUUCUUGCUUCCAUGGGGGUGUGAAUUCAGGUGCUUCUCCUCUGCCUGCCUCUUGAUUUCCCAAACCAAAGAGAACUUAACUGCUCACCAUCUUCCAGCCCCAGUUGAUGUAGGCUUUGGGAUGAAUGCUGUCUGAGAGGAUGGGAGAUACAUUGCAUGCAUUCAUUCUGUGCUUCCAGCUUCCUGAUACGCUACUGAAAAAAGAGGAGCUGGGGAAGCAGAGAUCUUGCUGGAUAAAGACCAAGUCAGCACAGAGUGGUUAUCCAGUAGCCUCAAUAAACCCUGUGAGCACUUAGGAUGGUUGAUGACCUGUGACCGUGCAGUAAAAUAGACGGGAGCUCUUAGAGGUAGUCCCCUGCUCACACUUUCCUCCCUAGUGGUUAAAAGUCACAGCCUUCGUAUUGUGGCUGCAUUUUGAACACAGUGGUUUUGCACUGAAGUCCUGGCAGCCUAUCAGGAUAUGUGCACUCAGGAAAUUCAUUCAGAGCUGUUUGCUGUCUGCUGGUUCUUGGAACCUGGGUCUUUCCAUGAACUUUGGGUCAGAUAAAUAAACUGCUCUGGCUAUGAGGAGUCAUCUUGUUACUGAGGAAUUGAUUUCUGAGUAAUAGUAAUUGUAUAAAUUAGCAUUAAUUUCCAAAAACAUGAUGUAAAGAGGUUUUGAAGAAGUGUUUAGCAAACCUUGCAUGCAAGAAGAAUGAAAUGGUUGGCCUCUCACAGGUUAGAUUGGAUGGAGAGACUCACUGCAAGGAAAGCAGUUAUAAGAACUGCUGCUAGCAGUGAUGAAGGGUGUUUGGGCAAAUUCAUUGCUGGAACAUAAAAGGUGUCUAGAUAUGUAUCUAUGGGAGUGCUGCUGCUUUAAUUGUCCCUGUUGUAUAGAUGCUCAUUAAUCAGUGCAUUCAAAAGCUUUGAAACAGAAUCAAGGUGAACUCAGCUGGUUUGAUUUAAAGCAUGUGUAACAAAUUCUGCUUGGUUGGUCUCUGCCAACUGCAGCUCUGACACCAAAGGUGAAUGUCCCACUUGUGUUUAGCUGCUCAUACCAGACAUGGCAGCUGGCAGAGGAUGCAUCGGGUAGAUGUGCUCCUCUGGGUUAUGUCACAUUUUUAUUACUGGCAUUAGAAGGAAUGUUUAACAACAAAAUCUGCAAUGUAUGAGACUGUACAUAUUUUCUGUAGACCUAGACCUAGUCUUUUGGUGGCCAUUCAUAUUUUAGGAACAGACCUGUUCUAUUUUAUUAAACUCAACUGAAAAUGGAGACUAACUGUUGAAGAACAGAGCUGUUGACCUUAUAUUUCAUGAGUAAGAAGAUUUUAUUUUCCAUAGUUACUAAAGGCUUAUUAAAAACUGAGGUUUUUUUAAUACUGUGCCAUUUCUGGUACGUAUAUACAAAUACACACUGUUCUUGUACAUGGUUCAAAUGACCAGCCAAAAAAUAGUUUAAAAUUAUGAUAGCAGGCUGAAAAAGACAUGAAUAUGCAAGUGCUGUUUUUAGUUCAGAACCUGAGUUUUCAAGCUGAAACGUGCAGCGCUUUCAUAGAAUGUACAUCCUUUUCUUUUGGUUUGACAUGCAAAUCCCUCAGGUUGUGAACGGGCUUGUGCAUGACUAUCACCCUUAGAAAAUAACAGGGUCCAUUUUAGCCUAAGAGUGGUUGAACAUGUUUUCUUCCAUUAAUUUUCAUGUUCAUGUCCAUGAUUCCUGCCCGUAGUUUAGCUGUGCUAUAAUGCAGUAGUGCUUUCACACUGCACUUUUUCUACCGGGUAGGCUUUAAGAGUAAGAGCUUUUGCGUUUCAGCAUCUGAACCCUUCGGGUAAGGGGAAAAAAGAUCCCAUACUAAUCAUGAUUUCAAAUGAUUUUUGGUUUAGACAUGCCCCAAAGCCUUGCUGGGAUUUUAUACAGUGUUUGCUUGUUUCUGGAGUUGUAUUAGCUAUUUUUUUUUUUCCUGCAGUGUGCUUUUUGGCCAAAUAUAACAGGUCUGAGAGAAUGGAUUGUGGCCUCAGAUCUGCAGCUGCUUGGUACAGUUGUUUUUCUCUUUGAGGAAAGUAUAGAGAACGAGGAACUUAAUUCAAUUAAGUAAUACAAUAGUUUGCAAUGAAGAUAAGAUACUGUCUUUAAUUUUUUUCCCCUGUUACCCAGAAUGAGUGAAUACAUGAAAAUUAAACCUUUGCUUCAUCUGAGGCGUCCAUGGGCAAUUGUGGGGAACUGUUUUUCUCACUCACGUACUUCAGUUGAGGACCUGUACGUCUACCUGGAGAGCACACGUGCCUCCUAUGGAUUUUGGUUUGAGCUUUCAUUUGUUCUUAUGGGAGGUGAUGGUGCACAUGGAAUCCACCAUUUCCCUGUCGUUUCUGCCGCUUGAAUUUUCCAGAGCAAAGUGAAGGCAGCAUAUUUAUUUUAACACCCGUGGCUGAUCAGAUAACUUUACAGCUCUGCCUGAUCACGAAGCUCCCAUGACUCGGUGCUGUAGUCUCAUCUGUGGAGUUUCAGAGGUGGGGAAGAUCUUCACUGGCAGAGUUAUAGAAAGUGGUUUGGGUGAGGUGCUCUGAGAGAAAGAAAUACUCCAUGAGUUGCAAAAAACAACAAACAGAAGAAGAAAACAAAUAAUUUGGUCAGGUAAAAAAAGAUUGGAUAUUUCUCAGUGCUGAAAGCUGAGCUGGGAAGAUGCCUCCAGAUAUGCUUAUUUUGUGCCUCUGCCUUUCAUGCUGGCUGCAUCCCAAGUACAUACAGAAUAAUUUAUUGCACAUUUCAGAGCUGAUCAGCCACAUAAGCCUGUCAAGAGCACAACAUUAACCGAGCAGUGAGGGAAAAUACACUUUUGUUUUGAUUUUUCCUUGACCUUGCUAGUAAUAGAAAUAAAAUUAUAAACUGUGAGCAUUAUUUUUUUAUUAUGUGCUAUCCCUCUAAAAAAAAAAAAAAAAAAAAAAAAAAAAAGAACAAAUGUUCCUAUGGCGGGACAGAAUUCUGAAUUCCUAAAAUAGAAUCAUAGAAUCAUAGUAUGGCAUGGGUUGAAAAGAACCACAGUGCUCAUCCAGUUCCAACCCCCUGCUAUGUGCAGGGUCGCCAACCAGCAGACCAGGCUGCCCAGAGCCACAUCCAGCCUGGCCUUGAAUGCCUCCAGGGAUGGGGCAUCCACAGCCUCCUUGGGCAACCUGUUCAGUGCGUCACCACCCUCUGGGUGAAAAACUUCCUCCUGAUAGCUAUACAAUCAUAAAAUAGACAUUCUGCAAUUCAUUUUUCUAAUCAGAAAGUUGUUAUUCUCUGUAUAGCAAUGACUAAAACUUGAAGUUUGAUGGCUUAGAGGAGGUUUUUGUUGUUGUUGUUGUUGUUGUUUUUAUUAUUAUUAUUAUACUCAUGUAAAACCUAUUAAGAAAGUGGCUAAUUUCCACCUCAGCCUUGACACAUGCCAAUAGUUUUGGUAUGUCUCUCUUUUAGAAGUGUCAGAGUCCUUCUUCAGCAUCCAAAGUGGCAGCUAGAUGAUCCACUCUAUUAUUUCAGAAUGGAUUAGUAAUUAGUUGCCAAGACAAUACUGGUAUUAGAUAAUGGACUGAUGGUGGUGUGUCUGAUGCAGAGAUAUUUACUGAAGAGGCGGAAGGUCUGAGUUCUCUUCUGAAAUAUUUCAGUAGUUUGCAUUCCCUCAUCCUCCCCUCUCAACAGUGCUGGAAGUGACACUUUUCAAAGUAACUCCACAAAGAUACUUUCCAAACUGUCACUUUGUUAUGAGAAUUUAACUCUUCCUUUAUUUUUCCUUUAAAAAAAUAGAAAAAAGGAACCUUUAUUUGCAGCUCCCCAUGCACGUUUUUAUGCACUGCUUUUGGAACUGGAACAGAAUCUUGCUGAAUGCUACCACUGCAAAACAAGCGUAGAGAUUGUUGAUUACAAAUGUCAUCAUUUGUAUUACUAGUGUGAAUGUUUCUUUGAUCAAAAAAAGUAUGAAAAUCUGACCAAAAUGCGAAGUUUUUUUACGUUGAAGCUGUCAAAGAGUCAUUUAAAAAUAUAAGCUGCAUAUCCUAUAUUUAUUAUCAUUUUUGAAAGCAGGCUAAAUUUAUACAAGUUAAUGCUUCAUAAAACUGGCAAUUUCAAAGACAGGUUUUUUUUUACUGUAAAGCAGUUAUUAUGGGAUUUGUUUCCUCUAGAAUGCCCAGGGGAGAGCGUAUGUGACUACUGAAAGAGAGAUCUGGUAAAGUGCAGAUAUGUUUGUCAUGGCUGAAAUGUUGGGUGUUUAACCAGAUUUUUACUAAGAUUUCAAGUUACGUGUAGAACUCCACUUGAUAUAUAGGAGACUUGGAUGGAUAACCAUUUUGAGAAGAUAAUUCUCUUCCAUUAUACUAUUUAUUGCAGUACUUCCCUCUAUUUCAGUAUCUGUGGCAAGAAGAAAAUAGUUUUACUGUUUUCUACAUCCAACUUGAUGGUCAGUGCUGUAUAAGGCAUCCCUCGUGCUCCUUGUCCUGCCCACAGCUUUAACUAAUGCUCUGCUUUGGGUUCCAGUUCUAAUGCUUGAGCCAUCAGUCAAAGCUUUCUCAUGCAUUUUCAUCAUCUGAAGAUGUUGUGAUACUGGCUGUUUUUUCUUUGAUAUGUAUUCCUAGAGUUAGAUUUACUGAAAUAUUUGCAACGUUCCAUGAUAACUUCUAGUAGAACAUUAUUUUCGCUUCUCAAAUGUGUCUCCAUGCUUGGGUCAGUCUAUGUAUCUGUACACGCACAUGAAUGUAUAUUUAAACUAUUCUUAUAUGGAGAUAUGUGUGUUUUUUAAUACAGAAGUAAUGAUGGCCCUAAGGCCCGCUUUCUUUCUCCAUAAUACAGACAGGGUUUCCUAACGUGACACAAUCCGUGCAAAGACAAAUGCUUGCAGAUUAAAUUCCAAGUGUGACAAUUUCAGAACGCAGUUAUGUCACAGCAGUACGAUCUCUACAUACGAUGCGGUGCUCCAUAUACCUCAUUAUAAACAUCCCCCUCCAAAGGGGAACGGCAGUAUUUGUAAGCAUUUGCCUAAAGCUGAGGUAGUGAAUGUGUACUGUAGGUGAGAAUUGUCGGGAAGAUCUUUUUUAAUGUCUCCAAUAUUGGAGGACUCAGCUGAAAAUAGCUGUGUGACAUGCCUUAAACAGAUUCAGGCGUCUCUGCAGAAUGUAAGAAAAGACCUGAAUACCAGGAUUACAGAUCCCACAAAUCCUCUGCUCGGUUUUACAGAAGGAUCAGGCAGUUUAUGUAUUCAGUUAAUCUAUUUUCACUUCAGGGUAAUGACUUGCAGCUGUAGCCCACUUCAUUGGCAGAUCAGAAGCUACACUGUAGUAUCUGUCUGACCUACACCAUUUGUCUUGGAAGGCUAAUUGUUUAGCAUACUGAAUGGUUUACACUCCCAGGCUACUCCUGAAAGUUAACAGAAGCCAGCAGCAUGGCCCCGGGGCAGCCCCAUGCUCACUGAUGCCCUGGGGUGCAGGCAGAGGUGCCAGCAGCGUGGGAUGGGUUCCCCGAACCCAAACUGUUGGCCAGAUGGGCGGUAUGGACUGUUCAGUGGGACAGCCUCGUAGGGUGAGUUUUCCUGAUGUGUCUUUAUCACCGAAUCGUAGAAUUGAGUUGGAAGGGACUCCUAGAGGCCAUCCAGUCCAACCCCCUGCAGUGCACAGGGACACCCACAGCUCCAUCAGUGCUCACAGCCCCGUCCAGCCUGACCUUGGCUGUCUGCAGGGAUGGGGCACCACCACCUCUCCGGGCAACCUGUGCCACUGCCUCACCACUAUUAUCAUAACAACCUUUUUCCUUAUAACCCAAAUCUCCCCUCUUUUAGUUUGAAGCCAUUUCCCCAUGUCCUGUCACACAGACCCUGCUAAAGAGUCCACCCCCUUCCUUCUUUCAGCCCCUUCAGGUACUGGAAGGCCGCCCUCAGCUCUCUCAGAGCCUUCCCUUCUCCAGGCUGCACAGUCCCAGCUCUCAGCCCCAACUCUAUCCAGAGUUAGGAGAAAACCCAGCUUCUAAAAAUACUCUUCUGUUCUUUAGCCAUUUGUUUAUUUUAAAGCAUCCCUCUCAAGCUGUGUUACUGCAUUUAAUGAAGAGCAGCUUCCUUUACCGCUGUCUAAUAUUUGCAUGUGUCAAAGGCCAUGCCUGGCUCAGAAUUUCAGGGAAACAGCAGGGCUCCCUGUGGGUACACAGCACCCAUCGCAGUUAAGCUGUGAUGCGGGAACUGUGUUCUAUAAGUUUCAGAAGAUUGCAGGUGUCCUGGUGUUUUGCUAAGAGGAAUUUUGCUGGGGAUUCCUCUGAUGACUUGAGCAUGGGAUGAUUCUUCAUUUCUGAGAGGAAGGAUGUUCGCAUCCUCAAAUAUUGCUUUCAAAGCAUGAAGUGAUGGGUGCUCACACAAUCUGGCUUACAAUGGUUUUCUAGCAUCCUCAUCAAUAGAAAAGCUGGCACCUAGCUAUUUAGGCUCUUCUGAAAAUUUCUCAUUUUGGACUGCAUCAGUUUCCGUCCACAAGGAAUUAGAUGUACAGCCCAGACGUGCUCAGAGGGCUCUACUUCUCCUAUCACUUCAGAUUCAGUUCACCUCGCUUGGAGCUCAGCAUGUAAUGCAAACUUCAGCAAUUAAAGCCUUCCCCACAGCACUGUUCCGCAGGGUGUCAUGCUGCAGCGCUGUUUACAUAAUCGCCUUGCUUUGCUGGACGGCAAGUGUUUCAUUAGGAACUGUUAGGAAAUUAUUAUAAUGCAGUGUAGCCUAAUGAGGUCUUGUCUCCAGUCAGGACAGGUUCGCCCUACUGGUCGAUGCGGUUAAGUAGGUAAGGCCCCAGCAUAGACAGGAGUAGGGAGGCUUUUGCAGACAGUUGCACUGUCACCGAAUGACAUACCUGCAAGACUCGGUCAGAUUCAUUUAGUAAUUCGGCUGUGAAAUGCUGCAAAAGGCUUUUCAUUUUAAAAGUUCAGGCAAUUAAUUUAAAAUACAAGCAGUAAUUGUUUGGAGAGAUACCAUGGCUGUGUAGUAUUAGUGUCAUUUGUGUUUUAUUGUGGUAAACUUAAAUUUAGAAUCGCGUUGUAAAGGCAGAAGCGUGUUUUUAAUUUGAACUAUUAGAGUAAGUUGAAACAUUGCCUUCCGGGUGUUUGAACUGAGUCCUCAUCUUUGAUUUUACUCAGAGUUACUGGCGGGUUUUGCUUCAGAGCAUGUGAUUCAAUUUCAUUCUUUGGCAAGAAUUUUGAUUUAGGGUUUAAUCUAAAGUUUGGCAUUGCUAACAAAGGUGAAGUGCAGCUAUUUACCGAGCAGCAUUGAAAUGGCACCCAAAUUAAGCACUGAGCACAUGCUUGUUUCUCUAAAGUUAACCUGUGCUUUCCGUACUGCUCAGUGGGAAAAUGCUGUGACUCCCUGAGAGAACCACAGGAAUUUUCAGCUUUCCUUUCCCCACUGAGUCUCUUCUGCCUCCCUUACCAGACUCUCUUUGUGUAAGUCACCAAGUUGGAUUUACUGCAUCUUGCUCGGAAUGAAAUGCAGAUUUCUAGGAAACAAGGAUGCUUUGGCAAAUGGGCAACUUCCUGUUUUUACCUCUCAUAAACUCUUUAUUCUCAAGAUGUUUUUUUUUUUUCUUUUUUUCCUUCCUUUCAUUCUCGGGGCCUUUCCCCUGUUUCUCUCGCCAUUUUAUUCAUUUCCUACUGUCUUCUGUGAGUUUGCUUCCUUGAUUGUGAAAGUUGCAAAGAUGUAAAAGAGUAAGCAGUGAAUGUGCACCAUGUUCAGCCCAUUCUAUGGUCUGUGCACUUACACCUGGCUGUUCAGCUCACCUGCUAUAGGACUCCAGCAUGCAGAAGUGGCUCAACACAUGAAAAGGCCUCAGGAAGGACAUAGACUACUGCUUCAGCGAGUUCCCCUCCACAGCCUUUUCAUGUGGAAGGCUCACACAGCCCUUCUGCAAAGAGAAACGCACUUGGCAAAUCCACUGCUCCCUGCAGCAGACUCAGCAUGCAAAGGGCUGGCAGGGCUGAGCUACAGAGAAACCCAAGUGUGAUAUGAAGGCCAACGUAUUCAUCAGCUGAGCCGGAGUCUGGCACCAAUUGAUGGGCUUUUGUUUAAAAAGAGAAGAAAAGAAAAGAAAAAAGAAUCAGAAAAGCCAACCCCCAAAGCCUUACCGCUCUCUGCCUGAGUUUUGCUAGCUUAUUUUUUUAUAAGUCAUAUCAGAAAUCAUUGGCACUAAACUUCCUUUUAGAUGAAAGUUUGAAGGAGCUUUACAAGAUAUGUGCAGAUAUUAACAUUAGUGACAGAUGUUUAAGCUUUAGCUAAAUAAGGCAUUCUUUAGCCAGAUAAUAUAGUUUGUUGUUAUGCUGAAAUAUUGAUUUAGAAUUAUAAAUGCCUAAUCCCUACCUCAGGCUCCCACUGCUGGAUUCCAGAUGUGGGAGAUCCUGUGUUAAAACAGUGCCUCUUUUCCAGCCUUCUGACUAGCAUUUUCUUUUCUUCUGAGUUUUACUCUCCUGUAUCCUCCUCUAAGAUUUGGUGUAUAAAUACAUAAUUGAGAACGUCAGCAGUAAACAGUGCCUUGCUGGACCCAAAGCAAUGGGUCCAGCACAGUUUAGAUUUGUUUAUAGCUCGUUCUAUAGCACACAGAACAGAUCAAAGGAGCGUGCUGUUUGUUUUUUCAGACGUACAUGGUUUGCAGCAUUAGAUAACUGCUUGUCCUUUUGUUGCUUCCCAGUUCUUUCGGGUUAAAAAAAAAAAAACAAACCACAAAACAACACAAACCAAACCCAAACAGGUGCAAAGUAUUCACUUGAGUUUCUUCCUGCCGUACAGAUGGUUUUAAAAGGAUUUUAUAAAUUUAUGGCCUCUAUCAUCUCAAGUUCUGCUCUUUCAUAGCAUUACAAUAGGUUGGCAGCCAAGUUGUGCGUUACUGUGCUGUAGUUGAGCUGUUUGGAAUAUUACUUUGAGAAUUGGAAGGGCUCCGGGGUGUUAAAACUGAUUAUGAGAUUUUUCUUUGCUUGACAAGAUGAGCAGGUCCAUGUGAAGUAUAAGGCAGUUAUGUGGAUUGACGACAGACAGGUUUCAAUCACAGAAUCAUGUUGUGCUUCGCUCAUUUUUGAGGUGGGAUGCCAGCAAAAUUGAGUUUCAAGAGGAUAAUUACAGCCCAAUCAAAUCCUCAGGUUAGGUUUCAUGACUUUUUUAUUCUUAAAGAGAUUCCUCUGAGUGAAUUAUUGCAUUCUGAGUGUUCUUCAGAAACUUCGUUUAUAAUUUGUCUUCCUGAAAAUCAGAAGAACAGCUAGCAACCGGAGUGAAAACUGACAAAAAUCUUCAUUUUAGAAGUUGAAUAACCUCAAGGACACCCAGUUCUUAUCAGUGAAUUUUCCAUCUGCUUUUGAACAUGACUUUAGCAUGAGUUUGACCCCAGCUCCGUGUGCUGACGGUCAGCUCUGCCAGGUAGGAGUCUGAUGAAGUGAUCCUGGGCUAUAAUUGCCCUCCCCAGAGAUAACCUCUCCUAGUUAAGUACCUGACCCCCUUAAAAAAUCAGAAGUUAGUUCUAUGAAUGGGUGCUGUUUAGAGUGGUAAAAUAAUUCCUUUGGCUAAGCAGGAUAAGCUGUAGGACCCAGCCAAGCUCUUUUAGGAACUACAGUCACAUGUUUCCCAACAAUAAGACAACAUUCACAGCUCCCCUUGUAUCAUUAUACUAUUUAUUGGUCUCUGAACGCAAAGGUUGGGUAAGGGCUAUGGCUUUUCUUAAUCCUCUUGCUUGAGAACGGUUUGCUGCAGACCCUGGUUUUCAUUUGUAUGCUGGAGUUUGAGUUUAGGCUCCUUUUGCUGGGACUGUCUCCUUGCCAACUACUUUGCACUUCCAAGUUGAGUCAACUCAAACUCUCAAACUGCUUCACCGGGGAUGAGAUUGGGCCCCGGCUCAGCUCUAAAAUCCAAUUCCUUGUGUUAUGUCUCUGUCUCUUCCAAACCUCCUGGGAAGGCUUUCUGGCAUGAUAGGAGCACUCCCAGUAACACCCAGACAGUGUCCUCCCUGGCUUUUGGAUGGAUGGACGGACAGAUGCCAGAUGCCAUCCACCACAUCCCCACUAGCUGGGAUCCCUCUCUGCACUUUGUGGUGGGUGUUAAGCCCAUCCUAUUUUGCAGUGUCAUGCAUUAGUAAGAAUUACUUCGCAUAGGGCCAAUCCUGAGUGAAGGUUCUCCUCACCCUUGCAAGGUGGUAAGUGACAUUUUCAUUUUGAUGCUGUAAUGCAUAGGUCUGUCAGAUAAGAAAUUCCCGUUACUUUCUCUGUCAGUCAGUCUUUUUUUGUGUGUGUGCAUUAUUCUCAACUUUUUCUACUGCUUCUACUUCUCUUAUUUCUGCUUCUUGGAUUAUACAGCAUAUGAGUUGUAGCAAGAUGAGUUUUAACUUGGAAAUGCAGCUUGUGUGAUUCAGCAGUGCCCUGGUAAUUCAGGUGAUAUUUCUAAUGCUGAAGCUUAUGUUCAGUCUGGAUAGCAAAUUCUCAAGGUGUCUUUGAAGAAAUCCCACUAAAUUCCCUGAAAAAAAAAAAAGUUUGUUGCUCAGAAUGUCGUCUUUGUUUCUUAUAUACAUUCAGAAACACCAUUGCCCUGCAGGUGUCACUGAGCCAUCUGAGCAUUCACCACCUAACCUGAGUAGAAAGUCAGGGCUUGUGAAGCCAGACUAAAUAAGCAACAAGAAAGAGCUGUUCUUGCUCUGCUAUGCAUGUCCUCUGUUUGGGGUAUUCAUCUUGCUGCCACUGAAGGCAUUGCUGGUGGCUGGCUGAUGGCUUUCCAGGCCACAGCUGUGCUAGUCCAUCCUCAGCCCUUUGUAGGAAGCUGGUUCAGGCUGCUACGGCAGCAAGAAAAUACUAGAUAAAUACUAGAUUUUCCAGUCACCUGCCUCAAACCAGUGGGAUGGGAGCCUGACUCCCUGCUGUUUGCAUAGGAUGUGGAAACUUUUGCUGUCUGUGACUGACUGUGGGAGCAGGAAUGUGAGAUUAGUGGAAAAAUGAAUGUAGCUUUUCACUUCUUGGUGACUUAAGCUGGUUGACAGUAACCCUGGGACAAAAUGUAGUUGAGGUGUACCAGUCCAGGUGCAGUAUAAGCAAUUCUGAUGUUUUUCUUCCAAAUUCAUUGUUUGGCAGCUUGUAAUUUUUUAAUACAAAGCAGUUGUUUUCAUUUUUAAUGUUAGUUACAGGGAAAUUUAUGGUGUAUUUGUACUUCUCCACAAAUAUUCAAGUGCUCUUCUGGAAGGAGGUACGCAAUAAAUAACAUUGCUUCAUACGCAGAGUGAGCAUUAAAUCAUUUAAUAGUAUAAUAAGAAAGCCCUGAACUAAAAUCCUUGUGGGCUUCGUGAAGUUUCUUUUUUUAUUACGAUUUCCAGUGUUAUGUUCUUUAAAGGAAGACUUUCCCUCACGCUGGUAUAUAUCCAGGCUUAUCUUAGGAAUAAGAUACAACAAAACAUUCACUAUAACUACAAAACAGAGAUAUACAGAAUAGAGAAAAUAUAUCUAUAUUACAUCACUAUGCUGUAAUUUGAAAUAUUUCCAUGCCUUUUAUGAAUACGUUCAAGUCAGAGUGGCUGACAGUAUUAAGCAGUGUUUGCAAUAGCUCAAGUUUGCAGAUACCCAAAUCGGGAUACAGAUUCUUCAUUUUCAGUGCAUCAUUCUGAAUUAUUUUGAGUUCUCUUUCUCAGAAAAUGGGUUGUUGGUUUUGUUUUUUUCAGCACUGCUGCUGCAUAAAAAACAUAAUAUUGCAGUUUUCUCCUCAUGUAAGCUUAAAAUGCACCUGGAAGCCAGAAGGUCUAAACACACAGAGAUGUAUAUUCAGCAAGGACCAAACAUAGAGCUAGCAGUAGCAGAGCCCUUGGGCUCAGGGAGUGACUUCAUUAGAGGCAUCACCAGCAGGUUUCUGUCAUCUUAGGCUCAAUCCCAACACCGCUUGUCUUAUACAGCCUAUGAUGCUUGCAGCCCCACUUCAGCUUAGUAACAGUUUGUUGCCUCUGCAAGCGCACUUCUGAGCCUUUUUCUUUGCGGGACAUACCUGUGCUCUGAAAAGUGACUGUAGGGAAUGUAAUUGCAGGCAUGAAAUUUUUGCAUUAAAUUUUGUCCCGGUGGCUCACAUUAAGAGUCACACGUACAAAUAAAAUGAAUUGCUUGGAUAUAACCGGACGUUUUGCCAAGAGCUUGGGAGUCAGCCUUCAUGCUUUCACACCAGCUAACUAUCACCUCCCUUUGUAGGUUCUAGCUGAGCAGUGAAGGCAUGUGGAGGAGAUCUAAAGAUAGGAGGAGCUAUCUUUAACUUGUCAGUCUUUAGGAUAAAAUUGCACUCAUGACUCGAUUUUAUUUUCUCUGCUCGUUCCUUUGCUCUGUGUAUUUUUGAACUUCCCAUGAAUAUCCAUGCACGAUGGUAGGGAUUUGGCAAUAAAUUUACGGCUCAUCCGAAAUACUUACAAAAAAAUAUGCUGGUGAAAUUAUCCUGUGCUUACUGUCGAAUUAAAGAUGUAGCUAACAAAACCGUAGCGCCUUAUGCUGGGUAGCAGCUAGUUUAGCUUUACACACGCACUUUUUCAAGACAUUCCACCAUGAAGUAUAUAUCUGUGUUUUUAAUCUCUGUCUUUUGGUCUGCUCUUUGUUCUGACAAUGUGGAGUGCAGUACGGUUCAAUUCCUUUGCUCACUGGAAAUGUUAAAGCCAUUUGCUGUUCUAACUGAUCCCUGCUUGGAGUGCUUUAUUACUGACGCAAUCUCGAGGUGAGCAUUAUAAAGUGAAGCAUUAUUCUUGAUUUCACUGCGAAGCAGGAGGGAGUCAAACUGCAGGCAUCCAAUGUCGAAAUCGCCUUUUCUAAAGGAUUUUUUUAGUGUGAAGAUGAAGUGCAUUUAAGGCUGUGUUUGCUGAUCUCGAAGCUUGGGAUGUAAUGAGUAAAGUGACAGAAGAAUAUGACCUUGCAAAGAGUGAGACGGCUAAAAGCUAAGUGAGCUUUGGGAAUAAUGGAAAUGAGGCACAGUCCAAAUGAAUGGGACCUUUAAAGGUUGCCUUUCUCUUCACAAAGGUUUUUCAUACAAUAUGAAACCUCUAACAAACCCUUAAGAAAAGACAGUUAUGGAGCCAUCCAUAGGCUUCCGAAUCCAAGGUGUUCCAACUGGCUGCAGUUUGACAGCCAUAGAAACCAUUUCCCAUUUAAUCUAUUAAACUAGAGUAAAAGAAUGUUUCCUUGCUCUUGGUAUGUAGAAUAUUUAGUCAUUAAUUUGGUCUUACGCUGUUUUCACUGUUGAGAGUUGAGCAUAUUGUGGAAAAUUAAUUAUCUUAGAGCAUACUAUAUUUUAUGAAGUAUUGAUUUGCUUUUUCCUAUUAUAGAAAAUUGUACCUUUUUUUCCUCUUUAAUUGAAUGUAUUUCUUCAGAGGAGUUAGACUGUAAAAUGCUGCAUGAAAAGCCAGUAUUUUGAAAAGCAGAGUGCAUUGAGUCAUUUUUCGAAACUAAUUUGAAAUAUUUUGGGCACCCUGCUUUCACAGCCACCACUCGUAGUGUGCUGGUCCCAAUAGAAAUUAUACUGUGCAUUUUCAGCUGUUUCAGGAUUAGCAGUAAUUAUCUGUGGACUGGAAAUGAACUGAUGAAGGUGUUGUGGAGAUGAGUGCCUGCCCUACAAAAAGAUAAUUCAAGUUCCCAUGUGGUGAGGGUAGCAUAGGCCCCCCAGGAGGAUGUCCUUCACAACUAAGGCAGCACUGAGCUGUCUGUGAAUGUUUCCGCGAGACCUGAAGAAGUGCUACUGAGAACUUUCAUUUGAUAGAAGGAAUACAACAAAAAGACUAGAAUAUUGUCAAAGUGACAUUUGCUAUUUGAGUGCCUUUUCAGAAAGGACGUUUUACUAACAGUUUUAAUUAUUAAUGAAAAACAUUAAGGACUUGAGCUCCUGCUUCUGAUAUAUGUAACAGGCAUGUUUCUUACACUUAGCUAUGUUUUUUAGUGUACUGGUGCAGAUCUCUUUUGCUUUCCAUGCAGUCUUCUUAUCCCUGAUUUUGAGUGUGUUCAAAGCUUUCUUCUCUGUAUCUAAGCUUCAGAUAAUUGAGUCUUUCAUCUUUCAUUCUAGAGUUUCCAUGCUUGUAAAAGGGAAAGAGAGUUGAGUAGGAAGGAGGUUGUUCUUUGUUAUUAUUGUUUUCCCUUCCUCUUCCCCUUUCCCUUUCCUUCCAUUUCCCUUCUCCUCCUCUGAGCUGGUGUUAUUCCUUUCUCCUUUUCUCUCAGGUUUCAAAGUGGUUUUCUUUAGCUGACAUGUGAAUGCUCACCAUUUCAAAACAGCCCACAGAUGCAAUUAGCCAUUUGUCAAGGUGUGCAGGAACCGACCGGCCUCCUCACUGCAGCUAAGUCCUUUCUUUGCUCUGCUGACACACCACAGUAUUAUCCUCUUAGCUCUGUGAAUGAGAAGUCCCACAGCAAUAGAAGCCUGUCUGGUUAAUAUAUAAAAAAACCAUUGUACACAUUCAUGCUUUUUUUCCCUCUUUCAGUGCAGAGUUGUUUUUCCCUUUCAUCUUGGUGUUUCUGAAGGCAAUAACAAAGCUUUGUCCACCAGCAGUUAUAAAUUUCUGGUGUGCCACACCCCCAAUUCACUGCUAUUAUGCUUGGGCUUGUACAGCGGGAACACCAGGGGGCAUUUUCAAGUAUCUUCUCCAUCCAGCUCGAGCAGUUCUCAUCACUCCAGAAACGUCUUUCUUUAGCUUAUAGGACAGAAGAAUGAGCUCCCUUCAGAGCUUAAUAUACCUUCACUUCACACAGAAGCUGAAAGGGCGCUGCAGUAAUGUAAUGAGAGCGCAGGCAAUCUGAGUUGGAAGUAAAACAUAUUUUCUCUGUUAUGUGCUCACCCUUUUCUGCCCUGGGGCCUAAAAACUGAAAUCUACGCUUUAAUUUAGCGUUCUCCGCCUGUACACUGAAAUGCUGCUAAUGAUUCCAGAGAGUUAAUAAGAGGGUAGCAGAAAUCGUAUGUCAGGAAUGUCUGAAACCAUAAAAAUUCUAGAGGCAAGACAAUUUGACUCAAGUCGAUGGAUUUUGAAAAUAUAAUUUUCUGUCUACUGGAGGCCGGGGAAGAGAACAUAUUGAGUUCAUUUGUAUCGUAGUAUUUUUUACAUACUCCUGAUUAAAUCAAAUUUGAAGCAAAGGUUCAUUUAACAACUUGGUGUGCUAUUAGUUUUUUUUAAGGAAUAGCUAAACUGAGUAGCUAUCAAAAUGAGGAUCAUUUAAGAAUCUAGAUCACUUUUAAAUAGGCACACUGGUUGUUGUUGUUUUUUUCUCUUUUUUUCUUUUCUUUUUUUUUUGUAAAAGCAAUACUCUCUGGAAAAAGAACAGGAUUUAUGAAUCACCAGCCCAGUUAUUCUUAUGAACGUGCCAUGUGUGUCAGUUCUUUUUUUCCCCCUUUUUUUUCUCCUAUGUGUGAGCAUCUUGUGGGCAAGCCUGUAGUGUGUCAUGAGUGCCGGGAUGUGUUCCAAGGAUAUUAAUACUCAUUUCCAGAGAGAUGGCAAUUUCUCAUGAUUUGUGAUUUGUAGACACGGCUACUUACGCUGUCUAAAAAUGCUGAACUGCGCAUCAAUUAUUUAACCUGUCUAAAUUUUUGUUAAUGCUGUGCAGAAGUUCAUUUAUUCAGUAAGAUAGUUGCUGUUCAUGACACUCCAGCAUCUGUUUCUGAAUGAUAUCUUCAGCUGAGUAGUGAAACUUAAAUCUACUUUGGAGCUGGAAGCUAAUGCAGGUGCAUGAUGCAACUUUAAGCUUUUCAUUUGUAUUUAAAAUAAAAUUGAUACACACUAGUUUCUUUCCCAGAGAAGUUCAACUUAAACUAAUUCUUAAUGAUCCAAAUGCAUUGAAAACUGGUUCAUAAAACGCUCAGAAACACAAAGCCAGUUUACUCGAGCGUUACUGUCAUGGCUAAAAAGCGUGCUUUCCUGGCAGCAACGUGACUGGUUGGCUUGUUUUUUCCUUGGUAUUGCCUUUACAUAGCUUGCUAAAUGAGAUGGAAAAAUACAUUACUGCAAUAUAUAUUUUCAGUGAGAUGCACUUGGGCAAGGUAUCCUCGUGCUGGUUGUCACAUCUAGUCCCAGCCUUCUUCCAGUUAGGCUGAGAUCCUUUUCAGAGGGAGCGAUGCCUCCAUUUUUCUGGAGUGGACAGAAGGAAAGAAGCUAAUGAAAAGCCAGUGGGUUGGGCAAGAGAUACUUGAGGAAGGGAGCAACACCCAGGCCCCUCUCCUGUGCCGGCUGGCGGGCGGUCUGUAUUGCUGCAUUGGUCUGUGAAGGAUGUGUUGCAGAGCAAAGCAACAAAGGCAGCAUGCUCAGCAUGCAGGGUCAGGGUGAUGCUCUGGACACCAGCUUACUGGUGGCCAUCCGUGUUAAGCUGUGGCCAGUGUUUACAGAGGGGUGAUGUGAUGUAAACAGUGUCAGCCAUGCUAGACCACAUCAUCAGGACAAGUGAGAUGUGUGCCAGUGCUACCCCAUUACCAGCAUAGUAAACCGAAUCUGUUAAGUCUAGACAAAAUUUUCUUUGCUCCCUAAUUUUGAAUGUACCUUUAUUAUUUUUAGUGGAUUGAGGCUGACAAGAGAUUUGUAUAAGAAGAUUUUUCACAAUUCUAAUGAGAAUAUGAGUCCUUUGUCAGCGCACAACAAAAUCCUGCAUCAUUCAUAGAAUUUAAGAUGGUGUUAAUGUUAUCCAAGAUUAUUUACAGCGUGCGACAGCUAAAUGUAUCUUCAGAGUGUAAUUGAUGCAUUCGUGGGCUUGGAUGUGGUCUUGCCAAUUAAAAUGGUGUCUAUAACCGAAGGCCAUUAGCCUCGUUACAUGUGUGUGAACAAGCUGGGUUCAGUCCCCAGAAAGGUAAUUAGCUGGCAAUGCAGCAAAAUGGUAGACUUUAAAAUUCUUGUGGUGGUGUCAUCACGGGCUAGGAAUAGCUUUGAGCCAGGGAAUUUUCCCUCAGUUUAAUUUAUGGUCAAUUAACAUGCUUUUAAUCACCCAUUCUGGUACUGAGCAAUAAAAACAGCCGAGUGUGUGUUGCGGGAAGUGCACCUGGCCCUCAGCAGACAGAGCGGCCUCCCCAGAGCCCCGUCCGCCAUGUUGGGCUGCCCCUUCCCCUCAGCCCAGGCCUGCUGCUGGCACCACAACUCACACAGCAUUUAGUCCUUAGCACAUACCUCACUUGUUUAGAAUAUCUUUCACUGGCCUUUUCCGUUCUUUUUGAGCAUAUGGGCACUGCUGGAAUAAUAUAUUAAGAAAGGAACAGAAUUUUCUUGCUGGCUCAGUAGUAGGCUUCAAUUUCUAGGGUUCCUAAACUUGUAUAAAAUUUAUCUUAUCUACGUCUCAUGAUCCGGUGACUAUUUAGUAAUAACGGUCACCCACACAGUGAGCUGGGACAACAUGCUGUUUGGUAAUGAGAGCUCCUGGAGUUCUGUGAAGGCAUCGAUUAAUCAUCCUGGUGCCAAUUAAAAAGGCCAUUAGAAAUACUGUCCGUGGCCUUCAAUCCUGCAUAGGGUAUUUGUUCUCACAGAGGUGCAUGGAUAGCGUGCUUGGACUUGCAGGCUUCCUUUUCCAGGAUGACAUGACCUGGCACUGAUCAAUGUACAUUCUGUCUUACAUUGUACCAUGGUUAGAUCCCAAAUUUAUUCCAAUCUAUUCAAUAAAUCAGGUUUGUUUCUGUAGUGGGACAUGGGUCUUUGUAUGGCACAGUUGUGCUCAAGCUCUCAUUGGAGUUGACCUGCUGAGUUAUUGGGGUAUGAUUUUAGGGUUACCAUUCACAAAUUCGUUUCAGAGCAGGGACUUUUCUGUCUUACAGUUCCUGGUGGGGAACAGUAUGUUAAUGUGGGUCUCCAAGUAAACUUUUUACAUAAUUAAUUGAGGGCGGAGGAGGUAACACUGUUUGUUACUUCAUUCUGAAUUCUUUUUUUGUCAAUUGCUUGCAACUUCUUCAUAUUUCACCUGUUUUGGUUGAGACAUGCCCAGUGCCCAUUGUGUGCCCUGACACGCUUUUCUUUUCCCAGAAAAGUUCAUUUGAAAAUGGACCAUUUAUGAGGCCGAGUACAGAGUAAUGCUAUUUGUCUGUGUGAAAAACCUCCCCAAAGUUUCUUUUUUUUUAUCAUCGGAGCAGAGCUCCAAUGCUUUGAGUAAGGAUUUGAAAAUUCCUAAGGGGCUAGCUUUUUGGUUUUUUUCUUGUAAGACAUCUACUUCAGGUUUGCAAAGGUACGUGACACUGAAAACCUGUGUUGUCUCACACUCAUCAGAGGCAUUAAGGUUUCAGAGCUGUGUGCUGCAAGAGAAAUGGGGAUGGAUCAAAAGGGUCCGCAGUACGCGCAGCACCCAAAUCAAGAACCUGGAAUUGAGCUUGGGAUUUUUCUCUGCUGUUAGCAAAUACUUUACGUAACACGGUAUCAGAAUGCAUACGUAUCAUCCUGUUGUCACAGAAAACAGUCUGCUACCCCUGUCUUUCAGCUGCUUAGGUACCAGAUUUUUCAUAAAUAGAUCUUCUGGAAUUGUUGCUAUGCUUGUUGGCAUCAGUGUGCUGCUCUGCUGUGGGAUUUCAGUUCAGCUUUCCAGGUUAUAUUAAAAAUAAUAACUCAAGCAGCCAGUAUACAUAAAAAAAUAAUAAUCCCAGCAAAAGAACUUCAGCCUUUUUUCCCAGCCCACAAACCCCAGAACUGACAUACAUAGUCUAUGCAUCAAAUGAAGGUUGGAGUUAAGCUCAUUUGUGCAUUUCUGCACUUUGUAUGUGAACAUUAUAAUUCAGUUUUCUGAUAGGAUGUAUUCAGAUACAUGAUGAUAUGUGUACUGAUAUGAUCAUGGAGCCCCAGGGAUUUUGUCUGCAGAAGGUGACACAGCUCUGCCUUGCACAAGUAAGGAGCUGCUUGCUUGAUUUUGCUGCUGGAAUUGUAGGUGCUUUGAGGAGGAAGGAGAGGCCUGUUCCUGUCUUGCAGCAUGGCACCAUUGCUGCCUCCCCCUUGUGUCAAGCAGACAGCACCUGCCUUUCUCCCUGUUCCUGAUUUUAAUAUGAACAGAGGCCUGGGCACCUUGCAGUUGUCAGAGCUGCCACUGAAAUCGGGAGCAAUGCACUGAACCCCACACCGUACUGGAAAGUGCCAAAUAGCCUUAGAGGGGGAACCCACCAACUUAGCGCAUGCACGUGCAAGGAUCUUAUAGGCAGCUGAUCUUCGAUUUGCCGUGCCCCCAUGCCCCAGCUUUAAAGCGUGGAAGAGAAAGUGCCUUUGUCAGAUGGGAGUGGGAGUGUUUGCAAAGAGCAAGUACUUUCUUUUCUUCUUUUUUUUUCCUUCUUUUCUUCAAGUGAUCACAUGGCAGCAUGCUGUGAAAGCUGGGAUGAUACAGAGAGUUUUGCAUUCAGAGCAAAAUCUAGAGCGUGUUACAAGGCAGCCAAUAAUGACAAUAAAGCCAAUUACUAACUGGCUUCCUUUCAGUCAGCGGGAGCCUGUAUUUGUCAUUUAUACUGGGGCAGAGGGAAGAUGCAGCUUGCGAACAAAUGUUGGGAGGGUUUAAAUGGAUAACAUUUUACAUGACAGUCAUUAUAAUGAUAAAGGAACAUAAGGCUUGUAUCUGCUAAAAGCAAAUUUAAAACUGAAGCCCCUUUCCUGCCCUUCAACUUAAAAUCUUACGAUUAUCUUAAAUCCCAAAAUGUGGCUUCGUUGUUCAUUUCCUUUUACCAGAAUGCAAAAUAACAAGAGCUUGAGGUUUUAGUGCAUUUGAAAGAAGUAAUCCCUUUUCCUUAUAAAUUCUGGUAGUGUUUUAAUUAAAAGCAUUAGAAGAACCAUCAUGUGCAACACAGUUUAAAACACACGUCUGUGCUGGGGAGGGGAUUAUGUGCAGAAUUUGUUCAGUUGCAGUGAAGAAGACUGGAUUUUGUUAUUUUGUUGUUUUAUCACCUGCAACUCAAUCGCGUAUUUUUACAUGGCAAAGGGAGACAGUGCUUUUGUGCAUUUCUCCCCUCAAUUUUCCCACCUUUAUCCCGAGUGGGCACUCAUAGCAUGCUUCAGCCCCUGUUUGUUUAGGCCACUGAGGAGCAGCGCUGUGCCCUGGAAGUCAUGUGGUUUUAUUGGGCUUCCAGGCUCACAUGGUGCUGCUGGAGAGGCGAGAUGCUCCCCUUCUGCAGGCUUUGUGAGGUGAAGAGGGUAAUCCAACAGCAUGCUUUAUGAGCUCACUGUAAUCUGGUGGAGGAGGUUUUAUGCCAGCAUUUUUCCUUCCCUGCUUUUCUUGAACAAUUUGCAUUAUGUCACCACCCCGUAAAGCCAUAUCUGAAAUACAACAUGGAGGUGAUGAUGAGCAAUAUAGAGUAAUGGAAAGAAGUUGCACUAAUUGCUGUCCAGAGUGAACGGUUUGGGAUUUUAAUCUCCAAUGUUUUGAAAUGAAAAAAGGUGGAAGAAAGAACUGGGGAUGUUAUGCCCAGUCACUGUAAUGUAGCACUCUGUAUAAGUUUUAAAAGGAGGAACAUUUAAGAUUUUCAGGAGAUGUUUUGAAGGUUGAAAGGCAUUUCCGCCCACUCCUUAGCCCGCGUGUAAGGACUGUCACCACUUCCACAGCUGCCAAUGCAGCUGACCUGGGUUGGAAUUGAAAGAUCUUUGAUUGACAUUUAAACAAAAUGUUAAUUUAUUUACAUAUGGUGUAGUCCUGGAGGACUUCUUUAGAUCACCAGAGGCCUUGUAAAGCUGAUGCCUUUGAUCAUUGCAUGGAAUCUGUGCUAUUUCUGUGUUUUUCCUCGCACAGUCUUGCUUCAGGAGAUGUGGUUUACUUGUAAGGUGUCUCUAAGGAGGUGUGUUUACUUUCAUACUUAGGUUUGUUUUUUUUUUUUUCCUUUUUUUUUUUUUUCUUUUUAAAGGACAAAUUCAAACAGGUGUCUAAAUUCAGCUGAAGUUACUGGCAUGUAAAAGCAUAAGAGCACGUAGAUCCAGAUAAUUUGGUGAAGCAGGGUUACUGUUUGAGAGAGAAAACGUGUCCCUGAAACAAUAACACAUGCUGGCUUCUUUGUUUGGGCAAGAGAAAAAAUUGCACUUCACUAAUUUUGGACAAGUAGUAAAUAAUGUCAGUGAACUUCUUUACUUUUCUUUGCUGGGUUGUUGGCUGGCAGUGGGCUGAUUGACCACCAGGUCUGGGAAAAAUCUGUUCAGGUGCCCUUUUCUUUCUUUCUUUCCUUUCUCUCUUUCCUUUCUUUUUUUUCUCUAAGUCUUCAGGAUCUCACCUAAUUACAUGGUGUGCAGAGCGCCUGUGGCCUAAUUCCUUUCUCCCAUUCAUUCAGGAAUCUGGGUGUUCCUCAGCAAACUCUCCCCAGCUGAGUUUAGUUAGCAAUUAUACAAUAAAUCUAAAUGUGUAUUGCUAUGAGCACUGAUGUAUGCACAAAAAAUAGGCCCGAGUGUUUCAUCAUAAAGGGGGAAUGAACAAAAUACUGUCAUUUCUGAUUUCACAAAAGUUAAGUAUUUGUCUUGCAAUAGUUUUAGAGUUUAUAGAGUCCAUGAAGAAAUGUGCCUAUUCAUGUAUGUUGUUUAUGAGUGCCUUCUGUUCAUGUAGGAUUUUUGUGUAUAAAAAACAGUUUACAGACUUGUGUGUGAUCCUUUUAAAGUGCCUGCAACAAUAUUUUCUUAAGUAUAGGCGUCCCAUGGAGGUGCAAUACCAGCAUUGCAGCAGGAAGCCCUGUGUAAAAUUUGGAGUAUACCCAUGGAGCCUCAACUGACCUUAAUAUUAUGUAACUAUGAACACCAUAAUGUAAAUUUGUUGAGAUGACACACGUUGCUACAUCUGAAAAGAUUUAAAAUGAGCUAUCAUUGCCACGGUGCCUGGGUGUGUCCUGCUGCACCAAGUGAUCCAAGAACAGAAUAUAUACUGUACACCUUUUCCAAGUCCCCUCUGCUCCGUGAUCUUGCUCUCUCUCCACUGAAGAAUGAGGCAUGCAGGCAGCCAUGUGUACCCUUUGUCACAGACAUCUCAGAAGAUGAAGCUGGGUACUGUCACGUUUGAUUUCGUGGCCAUUGUAAUCUCUUAGUUGUCAGCAGUUUGGCUCCCACCAAGAGCAGCCUGCACAGCACUUUGGGUCACUGACUGAAUGGAGCCUCUUGACUUUGCAGAAAUGAAUGAAAACGCAAUGAAAAGGAAGCUUUCCCUGGGAAAGCAGAAGAAAACGGCUGCAUAGUGUAAUAGCAGGUUGCAAGAGAGCUUAAUGAGGAUGCUUUAGAAAGCGGGGUGCACACUGUGUUCUGUUCCCUUCUUCCCUUCCAGAACCGCACCUUAUAUAUUGGACAAGGCAGGCAGGAGACUCUUAGGGUGUUUUAAAAGCAAGUAAAUGGGAGAGCAAACAGCUGUCACUAUUUAUUCUCUUUAUUUCCUUGGUGAAGCCAAAGGAAGCCUCUGAUGCUUCACACUCAGUGAAUGCUUGUCCCAUUUUCAUUGCCUGAUGGACUGUCUUUCGACACGCUGCACAAAGUGAGCAAGUGAAAUAUUGAAGUAGAUGACAAGAAAAGAAGAUGACAAAAGGAGGGACAAGUUCUAGAGAGCGAGUUAAAUGACACGAGCCUCCGAAGAUUUGGAAAAAGCUGUUUAAAAUUGCUGAGUACGAAGCAGACAUCGCCUGGGUCAGCUUUCCAGCAUGACAGCCAUAAACACGUGACCAAUAAUUCAACCCGCCAGACCGAGUGUUCGAGAGUGCAGAGAACGUGGACGCCGCGUUCUGCUUGUGCACCCAGAAUGCAGUACGUCAGCCUGGACCUCCCUGACAGCGUGCCUCCCGUCUCUCCCAUCCGCUCAUUUGGUGAGCGUCCUCCCUGUGAAAGCGCAGCCUUUCUGAUCCCAUUAGAGAAGAGAGGCUCUGUCUCCGCGGUCCUUUUUGCUGUCUGUGCACUCUGUGAACCGCGCCGUGCAUGGGGGAUUUGUUAAGAGUUGCACUGGAACCCAACGUGUCACAGGCAGCCUUGUUACGGCUGAAAUGCAGCUGACAGAAAGGAUUAGCUGCAACCGAGAGAGAGAAACAAAAAGUCAUAUUUUAAGGAAGAUUGUGGUGCAAAAUUCUGAUUAUUUAUUGGGCAAGGAGAUAGUCGGGGCUUUGUGUUAUUAGAGAUUCAGUGCCUUAGGAAACUGGCAGUGAAUUCAGCCUGGUGCUGCCAAACUGUACUUCAGAAUAUGAAGAAGGAGAAAAAAAAGCAAAACAAACAGAAAAGCCUCUAUACCCUGCAGCUGCAGAGAAAAUACUCAGAAACUCACUGUGACCAGAGCUGUGUUCUUGUCUUGAGUCAGCAAUCAGCUUGAAGCAAUACCUUUGAGAAGAGCGAACUGUGCUGGUCAUUUCAAUGCAUGUGAGCUAUGAAGUCUGACGUGUUUCACAGCAGCGAGCUCCUUUCUGUUCCUUUUUGCAAAAGCCUCAGUGUGCCGUUUAAGAAUGUAUGUUCUUGGGAGAGAAGAAGAGAACUAGAAGGCAGGUUUGUUAUAAUUACUCGUGUAAAUUAGAAAAAGAAAAAGAAUAAAGGGGGAAAAGGAAAAGCAAGCAAGUUUUGAAAUUGUGUAGAAACAGAGAAACAAGGGAUAUUUUCUUUGCCCACCGGAAAAAGCUUUAGUCAUAUCCGGACUCUUGAAAAAAUCACAACAAAACCCCCUUCUUCCCACCAACUCCUACAUUCUCGGCAGUGCCAUAUGCCCCAGCUCACAAUUAUCCAGCUCUUAAUGCAUUCCACUUCUGCUCUGACAGCUAUACAGUGUACAACAGUUGCAUAGAGUCAGAAGGCAAAUCUGUGAAGCACAAAGAAUCAAGAAUUUGGUGAUAGUUUAAAAGAAAUGCAGAGAACGUGGAAGGAAAUAACUUAAGCUGGUUACUAAUGGUGUUUUUUUUUCCAUUUCUCUUUGUGUCUAUCUAAACCUGCUGUCUCAAAUCGACUUAGCACUGUGAAUUUCCCCCUUGGCAUCACUUCUCCAGCAUUUACACGGAGCAGGCUGCAAAGUACACGGGAUCUGUACCCAGUGCUCAUAAUCACCCUAAGGAACCUGUUAAUCAGUGGAACAAUUGCGUGGUUAUAUGGUUUGCAUCGUGUUUGAGCACUGGAGCUCAAUGUUAGAAAAGCACUGCAGUUGCUAAUAAUUAGUCCUUGGUAGGCUUCACAAGGUUUACUUCAGUCCCCUCAUACCUACAGCAUAUCUGAAGUAUCUGAGCCGUUUAAGGGUCUGGGAGGUAGUACUUUGUCAUUGUGUAAGGCAGAAGGCCUGUGUGGGAAAGGGCGAGGGGACUGUGAAAUAAUUACUCGCUCUGCGUUUAAUUUGAGUCAAUGAAAAUGCCAGGAUGAUUGAAGUGUUUAUGCUGAGGAUCAAGGAGUAGGAUGGGGAUGGGGUAAUCAAACCCAGGGACAUCUUUCUUAAAGUUUUUAAGUAUUUCUUAGGGGGGGAAUAACGCAGAACUCACAGUACGGCAGGGGAGUGUUGGAAAGAAAAUCAGGAUCAGAGGUCACACCUGUGUGAAGCGAUGGCUUGAAAAUGACAAGUAAAAAUAGAAAAAUGCUCCACUUGACGGUGAUUAAUGGGUUCCUUGACCUGAGGAGGAAGACCAGAGGUGGCUUUGCACUGUGGAGAUGGUAAUUUGAUCGUGGCACUUAACAGGUGAAAAAGCUUGCUGUUACAAAUACAGCAAAAAAAAAAUAAAAAUGACUGGUCUUAAUUAUGUAUGGGCACUCAUGCCCCAGGCCUCCAUUGCCCAGCUCUGCUUUUCGGCUGCACCAGCUGUGAUGCUUUCAGUUUGCCAUUUUUCCAUACCUUGAAUAUGAUUCUCCUAUUCAUUUUCUUCCCAGCUGUCCAGUGUAGACUUUACUUUAUGUUUACCUGUGCUUUGCUUACCUUGAGCACUGAAUAUUCUGCUCUGCUCAGGUGCCCGUUUCCUCUGGCACCACGGCACUGUUCAAGCAGCCCCAUAAACUUGGUAAGCAGAUGUGCAGGGCUUAUAGAGCCAGUAUUGCUGUAGCUGGGUCUGUACGUAUGGCUUCCACAACGUGGGAGGUGGGAUCAGUCCGAUCUUGCUUACACAUCUCUCGUAUCCCAGGGGUAGGGAAACAUUUGCCAACGCCCUACAACUUUGCUUCUCUGCAAGCUAUGAAAGCCUGGAUUCUGUCAGCUUUUUGCAUACUAAGAUGAAAAGCAUGCUAUGGGCUGCUGGCUGCUUCUGUUCAAACAUGAAGCGUGGAUUUUGAGGUUAGCAGAGGUCUGUUUGCUUAAAAGAGAUUCUGAUCGCGAUGAAUUAUGAAAAUGUCAAUAAAUGCCACAUUUUAGAAGGUAAUAAAAUGACUGUUAACGUGGAAGGCAGAGCUCCAGGCAAACAUUAACAGCAGCCUGAACCACCUACCUGUGUGUACCUUCUUCCUCUGUGCCGUGAGCUCAAGGAGCUGAAGCAGCCCUGCAUCUGUGGAGGGAAUUCUCGAAGGCCCAGAUAGUCAAUAGUGCUUCACAGAACCCACGUUCAUAAUUCUGUUACUUGGCAUGUGAGUUUCAGUCCUACUUUCCCAUGCAGUGUGUGACACGAAUCCAUUUCUCCAGUAAAACUGUCCAGUACUUCACAAUUUAGUAUGGUGCAGUUGAUUGUGUGUUUGGACGCCACGAUGCCAAGUUAUAUUUUGCUUUGAAAUAUCGUGAAAACGGCAAUUUGGAAGAAAUAAAUAGUCAAAUUCCAUGUUUAGCAUGUUUCUCUUUUGCAAUAUCUUCUAAAAAUGUACCAAAGAUUUCCUCUAAGGACGUGAGUUAAAAAUAAGUACUCUUUCCUUGCUUCAGGUCGGGGUUUAAUUUCUCGCCCACGCAGCCAGGAGUUACCCAGCCCUUGCCAAGUUCAGAUGUGUGUGCUAUCACAGCACCAGCGGAGACAUUAUCAGCCCAAAGGAGCCAUUUGGGGAGCACUGCUAUCCACAGGUCUUGCCCUCCCUCUUUGCUGGACUUGAAGUCUGAUUAGUGUUUAGACAUCACUUGGAGAUAAUGAUAAUGUGCCUUUUAAUUAGCAUCAAUAUUUCUAAUCUUUUGGGGAAUAAUAAUGUUCUUCUUUUUUAGCCCUUGGCUGUUGACAGAUGGCCACUUAUUAAACAUCAUUAAAUUCUGACAUCAAUCAUUUUUGUGCUUUUUAAAGUAUGCUCGUCAUUUAAAUCAAAUUAUAUACACGGGAGGAAGGUUUUUCAGUCUGGGUUGUUUAGACUUUGAUGCAGUGCUGAAGCAGCAUUUAGCAGAGGCCUUGUUUUUUAAGAUGCUAUAAGUGUAAUUUCAGGGGCAUUGCUAACUUGUAAUUUCAAUGUACGUGCCUGUAUGAAUGGGGGCUCUCACGGAAGCAGCCUGGAUGCUUUUGAGACAAAGCCGCUACUUAAACGUUUAGGAACUUGAACUUUUGAAAAGCCUGCACUCGUCUGCAGAGAACAUUCAGUGCAUUUACACAGGAAUUCACCUCGUGUGUGUUUCUGUGAACGCAGUGAAGAAGUGAAGGUGAAUUCCUGUAUGUUAUUUGUAGCAGCGCUUUACUGACUUGGCGCAUUCUUGGCUGGAACCUCUGGUUCGUUGUUGGUGAAACUUUGUUUAAUGGGCACAAUUAUAAUCUGCAUUGUGUCCUUGCUCAUCUUAAUAGCAGUAUUAAUUUGCAGGAAGGGACAAAAAUUAUCUUGCAGAGUUAUCAAGUGGUGUUUAGGCUUUCUGAAUGCUAAUUAAUUCAGAGCUCGGAUGCUGUACCUGCUGUUUGAAAGGCUAGCAGCUUGUAUUCAUCACCUGAGUGACAGCUGUUCCUUCCUUUUUUUUUUAUCUUUAAAGAGAACGGGGAAGAUUAACUCCUUCCAUGCUGAUGAUUGAUUGCCACACUGAAGUAACAAUUGCUUUCUUCCGAUUUAAGAUUUGCAAUAUUUUGUCUUCAACUGAUGUCUGGUUUUGACAGCAUCUUAGUGAAAGGAAUGGUGAUAGUGCAUUGUUAGAGAAAUAGCUAAAAGUAGCUCCAAUACACUGCUGCUUUUUCUGUGAUCAGGAAAAAGAGAAGUAUGUCGGAGGGUUAAUGCCAGAACCAGAUCCUCCGUAUAAGCUAGGAGAGAAAGAAUUAAAAUAAAAAGUCAGAUUUGAACAUUUACAGUAAGCGAGAAAUCUGAAGAAUUUUUCUCUUGGACUCAAGUCCUUUUUUUUUAAUAUUUAAUGUCAAGGAAAUCAUUAAUUAGCUGUAAUUCAAUUAAAUUUUCACUCACCCAGUUAAAUAAGAAAAUACUACAAAACAGUUUUAUAUUGCAUGUGAGUUAUUAUCUGUGACACAAAACUGCUGUGCUCUAGGGAGAAACGGUGGUCUUUGGUAGUGAAAAGGGGCUUUGGAGGCAUGCAGGUAAUUUCCUUUAAUCUGAAAAGAAGCAUCAUCUGGUGUAAGGCGGGUGUCCCUCUGCAGGUUGGAGAGGAUUAUGCAGUUUGUUUAAUGAUCGAUGAACAAGGUACAAAUACUGGAUUACAUUCCUUCUUUUCCAGGUAGCUAAGUGUAUAUGUAAAAUCCACCCCUGCAUCCCCUCCCGUUCCCCCUGGUAGAAGUAGUUCAGUUGUGCGAUGCUUUCUUUUUGGAAACAUGAGACAAAUCAUAAAAUCAUAGAAUGGCCUGGGUUGAAAAGGACCACAGUGAUCAUGGAGUUUCAACGCCCCUGCUAUGUGCAGAGUUGCCAACCACCAGACCAGGCUGCCCAGAGCCACAUCCAGCCUGGCUUUGAAUGCCUCAACAGUUGUCUCACGUCAGAGGGCUUUACUUAAGCAGUGGUGCCAAACAGAGUUCUGUAAAGGCUCUCCAUUAGUAUUAGGGCACAUUCAAGUGUUUCUGCUAUUAUUUGUUUUGCUAUAUACAUGUUUCAGAAGUGUAGAUGUACAGUAGAUGUGUCAUAUAUAUUUUUUUUUCCUUAUCAUUUUGAAGACUGUAUCUUUAGAGGGACUUGGGGUGGACUUGGCUGAUGCCUUUGGGUUUUGAAUCCGCUCACAUCAGUUUUUACGCAUUCUGAUUCAGUAAAUCUCAUUAAGCGUGUUUAACUUCCACCAUUCACUGAAAGUUCUGUUGACUUCAGUAGCAAAUUAAGCAUAUGUUUAAAUGUUGCUUGGAGCCUGAGGGAAAGGUGAUUAACCUAAAGAACAAAGCGAUGCUAUUACAAUAUUUUAACUCAUUAAAAUCCAGUAGAUUUGCUGAUACUGACUCAGUAAGUGCUCUAUUUUAAAACAAUUACCUUGUACUUAGCUGGCUCUCUUGUGCAGCUUGGAAUACCAACAUCAGAGCACCAGCUAGGUAUUUCUGAGUAGGCAGUACAUUUCCUUUUGCUUUUGACCUACUGUUCAGCUCUUAUAAAUAAUUAGUGAUUAUAAUUCCUAUUUGAGAAUGCAAACUCAUUAUCAAAAUAUAAGGUUUGACACGCUUGUUUACAAAGUGCUCUUGAAAACUGAAAUCAUUUUUGAAGAAAUGACUGUCUUGUUGCAGGUUGCUCAAGCAUCUUUUGUUAUUACUCAUUAACUUCAAAGGACACUUUUAGCCUCCAUGCUCAGGAAUGAUUUUUUGAAAGGCAUUUUUAUGAUAAAAGCAUGCAGCAGCUUACUAGCAUUGUAGUAAUAGUAAGACAAUAGUAGUAUUGUCUUAGUGUUGGUGUAAAUUUAUCGUACAGUUUGAGUGAGUAAAAAUCACACCAUGGCAAGAUGGAGAUGUGAUUUUUGAAUAAACAUGGGAGGUACUGCGAUGAAUCCAGCUACUAUUAAGAAAAUGCACAGCAAUAUGUAGUUCUGUUCUCAGUAUGCUAUUUAUUAAAAGUUCUCUUACCUUUCCAGAAUUUAGUGAUACACUUUGUCUCUCCCCCAAAGUAGUUCUUAUAUUUAUGUACGACAUUUGUAAGGCUUCCACGUGUGCCUGAGAGUAGAGAUUUGUUGUUCUCUAACCCGCAGGGAGAAAUUCUAAACUAGCCCCAUGGUGGUUCCAGUACAAGAAGGUAGCUUAUGGUGUUUGGGGAACGUUGUUGCUUCUCUUUUUUUAGUUGACAGUAAAGGAAAUAAUCAAACCAGGACAGGAGUGUUUGGGGAGGCUGGACAUGGCAUUGGUAGCUUCUCCAAGUUGCUGUGCUGGAGACAUUUCCCACAGCAGUAUAAACCAGUGCAUAGAAUGGCUCCUGCAGUUACUGCGUGUGCAAAGUCACGAGCUAAUUAAAGCCUUGGAGUGAGUUAUUUGGGGUCUGUAGUCUGUCUUGAGUUUCUUGAAAUAAAUCUUGAGCGAUAAAGCUGAAUAAUUAUUGCUGCAGUGGUGUUAAAAGCUUACGAUGAUUCAGUCUCGGUGUGUUCUCUGAGUCAGACCCAGGAACCAUCGAGUCUGCUGACUUGUGUUUGCUUCUUGACCUUUUGGCAAAGAUCAAGUGGAGCAUAUGUUUUUAUCAGUUUAAUAUCUGUUAUGUCCUCAACUUGAGGAUUUUAUAUUAAAUGAGUUUGGGGACUGGGAAAUGUACUAGGAGCUUACACCAUCCUCUCCAUGCGUGAAGCUGGCUAUUGCUGUGUUUCUAGAAUGCUGUAAAAAAGAAGAAAAAAAUUAACAAGUCCCCAAAUGACCAUAAAUGAGCGUGAAGGGAAGAGCAGGAACAGAGCAAGCAUAGAUUACGCUGCUCUAAACUUUUCUCUUAAUCUCUGCUUAUUUUCAGCUCAAGGGGUUUCCCUUAACCUCAGUAAAACCUCUGUUAAAAAACAAACAAACAAAACACUGCUUCUGGCUGCAUUUCAGCUUUGUGUUCACUGUCCUCUCAGUCCAUAUUAAUAACUAUUUUGUAGUGUCCAACCUUGAGAUGUCAGAUUAUAUCUUCCAGACUGGGCAUGCCUUUGUACUGAGAGGAUGCAGUGAGCCUACGCUCACUCUCAUCCCUGUUGAGGUGCGAGUUACUUCAUCAUUGCUGCUGUUGGUCUUCACUGACCACUCUUACAGGUGCUGUUUUUCUGAGGAAAACCAAAAAGAAAAAAAGAACAAUUGGUAAUAGCUCCAAAAUCCCAAAGAAGCAUACUGCAUUAUCGUGCAAUAUGGGGUUACGUUGCAUUUGGUUAUAGACCAUUGGAAAGGAGUAGACAUGAUCUAUAACUUUGAGGAAACAGUGCUGCCACAAGUGUUUAAAACUUACUCUGAAGCGUGUGGAAAGCAAUGGAGAGUUGGUGUUAACUCAAACAUUUCUGAUUGAUUAAGUACCAGCUUAUGCCAUUUUAUGCCCUGUUAUAAACUGCAGGUCCAGAACUGUUCCUGUAUGUAGGAAUCAGUGGGUGGCUAACAGGAGCUGUUUCUGUUUGGCCUGUGACAUAGUUACUGCUGAGGUCUAUGUAAUGCAGCAGGUGAUGACAAGAGGGCUUUACAACAUCUUUUGAAACAGAAUCAAGCCACUAAAUGACAAGUGAAAGUGACAGGGUGAAAAUUGGAAGUUGUAUUAGAAGUAAAAUGAAUACUGCUCAGAUAGGGAGUGAUGGCAAUCCUUUCUGGGUGACAUAAGAAUUUGACCCACUGUGGAUUUCUUACUGGGUAUGUGAGGUAACCCAGAAAGGAGGUACCCGUGUCACUGUAAAUCAGUUCCCCCAGUUAAGCCUCAUUACCUGGCCACCUUCAGUUUUAAAUUAUUUGACCCGCCAUGGUUAAUAAAUAGACCAUAUAGUGAAGUUGAUUUGGCGUGACAUUUUUGGUUGUGGGUUGGAUGUCGAAUUAAUUACAGUGGAGGAAAAUAAAAACAAUUAUUUCCCUAAAAUCCCCACGUUUUCUAUCCCUUGCAUGUUGAAUUGGUUGGUGAUACCCUUGUCGAUAUUUCUGGCCUCCGUAUUUAGAUUAGGACAUAUUAGGUAAAGCUGAUGAUUUGGGGAAAAAAUCAUAAUGCUAGUUAAUUGUGACUUCUUAAUGUUGCUAUUUGAAGGAAGACACAAUAUUUUGCUUUUAAAAAAUUCUACCUAGAAUCAAAAAGUAAUGUCUGCAAGAUAGAAACCCACUGCAGCCUAAUACCACAUUAUUACUAUGUGUGCUACUCUGCUUACAUGUUAUUGUCAAUAUAUGGCAUCUACCUGCAUGGAAGGUUUUGUUUGUCAUGGGAACAAAGUGAUUGCUCCUCAUUUUUCCUGACUGCUGAGUUCUUUUAGCAAAAAGCAUUUUUAUCCUGGAAUAAAUACUGAUUCUCUCUUUUCUGUCUCUGAGAACAUUAAUAUAGUAAGAGUUACAUUCACCGUGAGGGCAGCUCAGGGCCCAACAGGCUACUUAAAGCCAUGACACUCGCCAGCGUGCGAGAAGUGUCUUCAUUGCUUUGGAGGGAAAGCAGAGAGGUUAGCAAUAGCUGAGUUGUCCCUUUCUAAACAGGCUGAAAACGUCCAGGUGAGAAUGCAAAGGUUGAGACAAUGCAUGGGAACACAUCUGCGGAACAUCCAUUGGUGUAGCUGUCCUUCAGCUGCUGGGGGAUUGCUCAUCGCUGGGGGGGAUGCAGUGGCAUCUUCCUGAUAGACACGUUGAAAAGAGCAGGCAAGAGCCAUGGGAAGGUGUGGGCAGGUUAUUGAUAGAACCGCACACUGCCACUUCCUCUGCAGCUUUCUUAGGAUGCUGUUGUAGGAAACAGCUGCUCCUUUGCAGAUGACUACCUGUGCCUGCUGCUUUCCUUGUGUUUCCUCUCAGCCUGCAUCCAUGUGUGCCCCUAUGAGAUCGCGUGUGUCUGACUGUGUGACUGUAGAAAUUACGCCUUGCAUGUGCAAGAUUUUUGCUCCCUUAACUCCAGAAUUAACUGUCAUUACUCAAUUAACAAUUGGAACACAUAGGUAAGAUUCCAAGGUUCUCUUCAAAGAGUGACACAUAAAGUGACUUCCUUCUGCUGCUAUAAAAACAACAAUUAGCAUUCUAAUAAAUUAGUUCGGUGGAAUUUAUAGCAACACAAUAAGCUUUGAUAUUUGUAAAGUCAGUGCUAGCUUCUGAUACGCUGAAUCACUGACUAUUAUUGUGAAAUCCUUUUUUGGAUGUUUGCAUGCUGGACACUUGUCCUUGUAUUACAGCAUUGGCCAUUGUCUUAAUAAAAUGUUUUUGAAGCAAUGAAGGAAAAUGAUAAGGAUCAUCCAUCUCCAGCAGAAUGUUAAUUGUCUGUCUCCAGCAUGAUGCUAUCACGCUUCUGUUCCAGAGUCAGUGCUAUUGAAUUUGGAUCAAGCCUUCAUUUAAUUGUUUUUUUUUUUUUAAUUUUUUGAAUGUAUUUUUUUAAACACAAUUGAAAAAAAAAAUAACUCCCACACUCCUGUGCCUCAUACAAAUCAUAAUGCUGCCACUGACUUUACGAGAAUGGCAUUCUUUGAGAAGGUUUUAAGUUGAAAUGGGGCUUUCAAAUGGCUUGCAUUAGUUAUCCUCAAGGGAAUGCAUUUCCUAAGGGGGAAACUACAGUUAAACUGAUGUUUUGUGAGAUUUUGUACUGAUGUCAAACUUCGUUCUGCUGCAUGAAGUAACACAAUUAAAGCACCAAAAUAGCAAAACAGAAGCAGCAGAACUUUGUUGAACUUGUAGAUGUUUCCACAUAGGUGAUUAAAAUUUGAUAGGAGUGUUUGAGGCAUGUCCACGUGAGAUGUGAGAAAAACAAGCCUUAAGCAAGUUAGCAAUUUCCCUCCAAAGGGUUUUAUGCAGAGGAAAGAAGGCAAUAUUUAUGUGCAAUAGCAGCUGGGUGUUUUUAGAAUGACUUUUAAGUUCUUUUAUAGUAAGCCUCUGCACCAUUAGAGAACAGAUAUGAAUCAGAUACGGUAACAGUUUGUCCCAUGUGUGUGAAGUGGUCUUCCAGGAUAAAAUUACAAUGUCUUUCCUUCUAAAUGUGGUACUCAUUUGGGAGUAAAUUAAUUAAGACUGUCGUUCUGCAGUUGUGACAUGGUGAGGCACUCAGGGUCUCCGUGUAAAACUUUUUGGUACAUCAGGAAAAUAAAAGCAUUUUUCCUAGUGGUUCUAGAGUUGUUACAUGAUACUUUAAAUAAAUGACUUAAUUCCAUGCUCAAAAUACCCAAAGGUAUAAUAUCACAUUAUUGUCGUUAUUGACUCAGAUGGCAGCAGUUCACAAGCUCUUUCCUCAUUUGAGAGCCUUUCCUCACGAGACAGGAGGCUGGUCUGUGUGCUGUGCCCUACCCGGUUUACUGUUUUAUCCUUACUUGUGACUCAAACACAUGAAGAUGAACGUAACACACGUAAGUCAAACAGACACAAAUGCCUCACUUGGCGUUCCUCACUUGGCAUUCCUCCAGCGAUCUUCACUGAUGGACAGGCUGUAUGGGGGGGUUUUCUCAGUGGGAACAUGAUACGGACUGCUUAGUUAUUCUGUACAUGCUGGAAAACUGGGUGGUUUCCCUGUUCCUCUUUGAGUGGAGAUCAAAAAUUCAUGCAGCAGAAAGGUUAAGACUGCCAGUAAUUGAAACACUCAGUUUCGACAGCAGAAUUGCAUGUGAGCUUUCCAGUGAAUUGUAGACAAUCCACGACUUGAUGUCUGCAUCUGUUUAAGCACAAUUACUUUCUGUGCUUAUUUGAGUUAUCCUGUCAUUUUCUGUUGAAGUGUUUUUUCUGCUCUAAAAUGAACCUAAUUGCAAAACCAUUUCAGGUAACAAUAUUGAAUGUAAAGGUAUGUGUCUCUGCACGGCUGUUGUUGUGUGUGAACUCCUCGCGAUACUAUCUCAGUGGGGUGGAAGGAAAAUCAAGAGCUGAAUCUUUUUAAAAUGCAUUUGAAUGCUUUCCUCGAGUAGUGAUUAUGAGGAAUGAAUAUAGCCGGAGCUUAAUCAUAAACUUUUCCCUUCCCUGUCAGUACUGACAUUUACUUGUUUCUGCACAAAUAGAUGAAUCAUAGCUAAUGAUUUAUUUUGAUCAUUUAUAGCGUUAAUGCAAAACUUAGUCUCAUGUAUUUUGACCUCCAGAUUAGCUAGACCGAAAGCCUAACAGCCACUGUGUUGCAGAACUGUGGCACUGCUCUACAGGGUAGUGUAGUGCUCUACAGCCUGGGGUAACAAGCCACUGGUGCACCCUGGGUGACUGCAUGCAGAAGGAGCAUACAGGACAAUCCAUCAUCCAGGGGACGUUUGCUAGCGCAUAGUGCAGGAAGCUGAGUAUUUAGUAACGCUUUUCUUUCAUGUGAAGGUUUACCUAUGGCUCCUGUUAUGGGUGAAAUUCAGUAGGAGCCUGUGAUCCCAGUGCAUCUGACUCACACCCAGCAUCUUAGUGGACUUCACAACAGUACACCUGCACUCCUGGCUGCUCGCUGUCCGAAACAUCCUCCAUUUGAGUGAGAAAAGGAAGUGGGUGUGUAAAAGAGGGGAGGACUGAACAACUUUACGCAGAGGAUGGAGAGUGGUGGUACUGCUCAGGAUAAUAACUUCAACUCUGAUUUGCUUUCUCCCAUUGCAACAAGGCAUCUGUAUUCUCUGCAGAGCACAGACGGCCUGGAGGAAGCUUUUGUUCCUGGAAACCACGAGGAAGUCAACAGAUCACUUGGGAAAUUGAAGAGGAAGCAGGGCUGGACUUGUGAUAACUUGUUUUCAAAGAAAAAAAGAGCGUGGAAGGGUGGGGAAGGGGAAUAGUGGGAAGAACACGAGGAAGAACUUAGGUAUACUUCCGUCUGCAGUACUGUAAAGGUAAUACUGCUGUGGUAUCAGGUGUCCCAAGCUGCCAGCCAUCAGUAACAUCAAAUCUUUGCAUCCAUUUCACGUGCAAAAGUCAGCUUGCAGAUGGCUGGCACUUCAGGGGGGUCACUGGCAGUAGUGAAGGAGUAAGACUGAAGGUUUCUGGGCUGAGAUUAGCUGAAGUCUUCUCUUAUCAUACAAUAGCUUAUUACAUGAUAGUAUUCAGGCAAAUGUAUAUAGUCUAACAGUAUGUCCAUUAUUUUGUCUAGCAAUCAGACUCUACAUUUUGUGCUGCAGAAACAAAUGCCUUUUUCAAUUACCUUAAUAUGCUACAUUCUUUAAAUUAGAUGGUCUAUAGGCAGCAUAUAAACAGCACUCUCCAAUAUUAUUUCAGAAAAUGAAUAGCAUGUGUGUUCCCUCUGCUAAUCUACAAGAGAAACUGCCGAGUGACAUAGGCUCUUGUUAUUUGCUUCCAUAUGAACAGCUCUGAGCAAGUGUCCCGAAGAAAUGCACACUGACUGCAUUCUGGCUUGUAGAAGGCCGUGUGUCUAUUUGACAUGUUCUCAGUGGAGAAUUGCUUAUCCAUGCCCGAUCCUGACUGGUUUCACCUUCCAAAAGAAACUAGCAUAGGUCAAAUGUUGGCAAGAUGGAUUGAAAAGUGCUUCCAGCUGAUGGAAAUGCUUUUGGUAACAAAGUGGAGGAAUUUGAAAUCUAAUCUAUUCUCAGUGGAAAAACAGCAAAUAGUCCAUGUUUCAACACUUACAAGCUAUUCUAGUAUCUGAAGUGCUGACAUACAUGAGUUCUGCGAAUGACAGAUGCCAGGAAUCAACUAAUUUUGCGUGAAUGCUACAAAUACAAAAUAUCUUCUAUAAUGGACUGUGAUGUGCCAAAAGAGCUUUCUUAUUUACUAGUUCACUGCAGUGCUAAUAGCCGUGCUUGUACAUGAAUGUCUCCAGACUCUUCCUUCUCCAGUUCUUGUGUUCAUUGUCUUUGGCAUUCCUAAUUUCUCAUGUCUUUCCCUUCCUAAAAUCUUACUUUCCCUAGCACAGUUGAACUUUUCCAUCCUUUAUUUCAGUGUUGAUUAUUUCGGGCAGUCAUUUUUAUCCCAUCUGAAUGUAUAUUCACUCUUGCCUGUGUUGCUGGUUCUUCUGGCUUUCUUCAUAAGCAGUUCCUGCGGUGUUCAGAAUUUCCUCUGCGUGUGAGCUGAGGAGAAGGAUGUUCCUUACUAGGCAAAGUCUGUGUUAUUCUUCCUUAAUUUUGGUAGCUGUUUGUCUUCUGUUCCCUCCACUUGUCUCUGACUGUAAGUGCAGUGUAAGUUAGAGUUAGGGCCAAGUGUGUGCGAGGUUUCCUGUUGAAAUACAGAAUAAUGAUGGAGAUGUGAGUCACAGACUGACUAACACUUGGCACAACAUCAAAGAAAGUAUGCAUCUUUCUUUAUUAUAAUUUUCCUUUUAUUUCUUCCAUUGCUUGUCCUUUUUUUCCUCUUCUUCGUACCUCUCCUAACUCAUGUAUACAAUUAAUUGACAUACAUAUUGUAGGAGAUAUUUAACUAAGCAUAGCUGCUUUCUCAUCUGCCUAAAACAGGACGCUUCUUAGGAAUGUGAAUUAUACCCUUACCCACACCAAACAUCUCUCUUAAGCAUAGCUGGAAGCUGCUUUGUGGAUUUUAAGGUGCCAUUCCCUGUCCAGGAGAAAAAGAAACUGGAAAAAAACAGAGGGCCUGACCUGAGUAGGAGUGCAGAGCUGCCUUUCGGGCUCAGCAAGGCUAAUGGAACCUCUUGUUCCCUCCCACCACCCUUUGCACAUCACAGGUUUCUGAGUGCAACUGGCCUGUGUAAAUUUCUAGCAUAAAUUCAGUACUAGAUGAGGCAAGGAGUCUUUACAGCUGUUUUGUUGAAAUCUUUUAAAAUUUCAUUUCCCCUGACCAGGGCAGUCAGCAGAGACAGAUUUCUGUAAUAAGGGAACAAUCGUGUUUGACUGUCUGAGCAAAUUCUUCCACUACCAAUUGACUACUGAGAUGAAGUGGAAUUUCUUACAAAUCCGGUUACAGUGGGUCAAGCACCACGUCUGCGGUUGUGCUUAUUUUUUGGAAACCUUGGUAGGGAUUUAUUUUAGCACAACCGUUUUAUAAUGCUUGCAAUACGUUCAUACUUUGGUUUGCUGCUACUACAGAUAAUGGAUGACUACUUAGUUAAUGUUUGACGGCGGUUACAAUACACAUCUCCCAAAGUUAAGUGUCCUUAUGUCUUUAUAUGAGAACUGACCUUCAGGGACAGUAAACAUAUUGUUUGGCAACAAGUUAAUUACAGACUUUAUCUUCCAAAAACAUUCAUGUCACGGGUGGGAUAAUUAAGAUGUCCUUGCAAGGGAAAAAAGAGUUCUUGAGUUAUAGUAGCAUUCCAAAGUAGGUGUUAGAAACCGAGGUCACACCAGUAUUACAGGGUCUGCGUACUCACGUUGUUUUGUCUAAAUAAUUCUCUUCAGGCUAUAAAAAUGAAAGAUGGACUUAGCUGAUGUGUGUGGCAAUAUAUUCUGUAAGUCUGUGAAACAACAAAAGGAUCUGGGUCUUGCAGGGGUGUGAUGGGCAGGCAGAACUGAUUGUGUUUGGUUUACUGCGGGAUUGAUUGCUAGGGUUUAUUUUGUUUUUCUCCCCUUUCCUCCUUCUAAGGCCCAAAUCUUUUGUGAAAUGGCUGGGAUCGCGUUGGCCCUUUCUGAUUUUGUAAUAUGAACUUCAUGGUGAUAAAUAGCUAAUUAUUUGCAAUUGAAUUAGGCUAUGAAUUUAAAUAUGACAGAAACAGAUGUACUGGUGAUUACCUUCAAUGCAUUGCUCGGAGGAUCCACGUUUGACACAGUAUAAAUACAUUCCUGAAAUGUUAUUUCUGGAGUGGGAUAGCACAGCUAUUGAAUCUUAUUGAGGGGUUAGUGAAUAUCCUCCAGACCACCGCAUCUCAGAUAUGGAGUGUGGUUUCUGUUCUGUUUUUCUCUGGAAAUAUUCAGAGAGAGAGGAGUAUUCACUGCUGGGAACUGAAGUUCUUGUUCAGGAGCAUUGCAUCUCUAAGCUGCAGGCGUAUGGUUUCAGUCCAAUUUCGAUAGAUUUUUUUCACACUAUACAUUCACAAGGGGACACCAAGUGCUUUCCAAGGAUUAACUCCCCAGAGGGGCACAAUGUGGUGGAAUAAAAUUGUUCUCAGCAUAAUUCCCACUGUAAGCAAUUUUGUAGACGGUACUUAAAUGAGGGACUUUGUCAGCUGGCUGAAUUACAUACAGUAUAAUGAAGUAGGUUAACUAUCCCAGCAUGCCUUUGUGUUAACAUGGAACUGAUAAUGACUACACACUAAUGUAAUUUUAAGAUUUGAUUUGCAAUAUCUUAAAACAACAACAACAAACAAAUGAAAAACAAAAUCUCUCCAUCUUCUCUUUCUCAAAAUAUGAUUCGGGAGAUUGAUAGGUCUGAUAAUCAGAUAAUCCUGAGCUACUGUUUUCAGUUUGUUUUUCUCUUUGGAAACCUGCAGCAAAGGCAAACCAUUCCAUUUUUAAUAGACAGUACAAUUUUGGACAAUCAAAUACCUUCAGAAUGGUUUUUUUUUUCUGCAGUGGAGAAAAAGGCUUACAACGUUAACAAAGCAUUCCCCAAUCAUAGCCAAGAUACAUGGCUGCUGGUGAGUCAUACCUUGAAAAACAGCAGCCAGAUUAUGAAUGAUUGAAACAUACUCUUUGAGACCUAUUUCCAUGAAUACAUUUGUGGUUUGAAUGAUAAUAUUUAAGCAGCCCAACAUGAGAGAACAAUAGAAAAAAUGGAAUCUUUGACUUUGAAUGGUGGAACUAUGCCAAUCACGUGUAAUGCGGCACUUUAAAAUACCCGUAUCUAAUUGAUACAUCAAUACUGAGUGUGUCCAGGAUGGGUUUAUACAGAGUGCAAGGCAAUGGAGUAACACUUUGAAAAUGGUUAAUCCUGUGCCUGUCCCGUGGACUGUCCUGAAAGUUAAGCCUUUUUAUCUUUGCACUUGGGAAAAGAAUGUCCAUAAAUACUUGGGCGUGAUGCAGACUUGUAAGAUUCCUCCAUGAGUGAAUGGCACUGCAGUAUGAUUCUUACUUGGUUCAAAGUUAGAAAUUCAGCUCCAGUUAUCACUGAAGUUAUCGAUGACCAUGCAACGUUUCUAACUUCAUGUAAACAAGAGACAGUUUUCUUCUCAGCAAACUUUUUGCUUUUUCAUGGUUUUAUUUUUUUAAAUACAUGUUUUUUUGCUUUUUAAAAUUUUUUUGGAAGCUUAGUAAUUUAUUUUGCUUGUGUUGUUUAUUAGAUUUACUUGUAUGUUUUACUCAACAUAAAAUGGCCCAAGUCAAUUUCAUUUGAGGUGUUUUUUCUGCAUAACUGUGUGCAAUUAAUCUUUUUCUUUUUAAACCAGCUCAUUUAGUUCUUGCUUCCGCCACAGCUACAUGGAAAUGAGAGACUUGACCUAUUUAUAAAAACAAGCCUUUUAGCAUUGUGAGUGAGGGGAAGAGAGAAUUUUAGAGUUUUUGGAGUUUACUUUACAAUUAGUUGCCAUUAGGGUUUGCUGGGGCACAUGUGAAUGAUAUUUUCCUUUUAACAGGAAAAUACGCAGUGGACUUGACAGGAAUUUCUUCCUCUCAUAGCCCCUAGUGCUUCCUAACCUUGUUAGUGCUCUCCAGAAUUUGACUUGGAGCUGAACAGGCCUCAGCUUUGUUGCAUAGAAAUUACAUGCGUGCUGGCAGAGCGUGUAGACUAUUCCACUUCACGUGCAUUCAGGCAAUAGGCGCAGAAAUUGAUUUAUGCAGGACUACAGUUAUUUCUAAUGUGACAUUUACCCCAGAACUAUGUUGGGUUGUUAGCACUGGAAAAAAAAAAAAACACAGUAUUUUCUUAAUGCUGCUCCGUAUUCAGUGCCUUGCUGGUACUUGUUGCAGAUGUUUCAGAUUACUGUCAAAACUUCAUUAUCAGUGAUAAUGUACUAAUGCAGUAAGUUGACAUACGGGUUGACCAAGUGACUAUUGCAAUGUGUAAUUAGGCUGGUGUCAUGUGAUACGUUGCCAGUGAUCCUGCACAGCCUUUACGUGAAAUUUGCCUGAGACUGAAUUGAUUUGCUGCAUUGUUCCCAUUCCCAGAGUGGCUGCUGCCAUUUUUGCAGGAUUCCUGUGGGGUGAUGUGAAUGCUGUAAGGGAGCUCCACGUUAUACCAUACAAAUACGUUUUCUUCCAGAUUUUCAUGUAAUAUUCAUGUUACUGGAAAUAAUAAUCUCAUUAUAGAAUUAGCAGUACAUAUAUAUCUGUCUAAUAAAUCACAUCCAAAUAUAUGGUGUUUAUAUUAUAAAUAAUACAUAUCCUUCUAUUACUAAUGUUUACUACUGUUAAGCCAUUUGAGAGCUCUGACAUUGCCCAAUUCCUAGCCUUGGUAAACAAAGAUAUUGUUUACAAAGAUGUGGGUCUGCAAAGUAAGAAACUGGAAUUUUAAUGGAUUCCUUCCAAUAGCUGUCAGUUUCUUCCUCUGAGUUUGAUAAUUGAAAGGUUUGUUGUUUUUUUUUUUUAUUUUUUCUUUUUUAAAAAAAAGGAAGAUGGUUUCAAUUAUCCAAAGCUGGCGGAAUGUUUAACUACCCUUCUGCUAUCAGUGGACUUGUUUACAUUAGGAUUUUGACUAAAUUGAGAUUGCACAUAUCCAGAUGUUAUCUGCCCGGGUGACUUUUUCAUUUGCUUUGGCAAAGAAUUUGAUGGUAUAUUGCUACCAUCUCUUUGUCAGUUUUCACUUUAUGUAUUGCAGGCUGCCCUCAGACUUUUCUUUUUUAAACAUUUUCCACAGAAUCAUUAACUCCUAAGCUUCUGCUGCUCCUUUCUAAAGGUAAAACCCCUAUUUUAUGGUAGGCUUGUCUGAAUAAUGAUUAAACACAGGGAAACUUUCUCAGUUGUACCCUUUGUGUGGCUAUGCAGGCAACUGAGCAAAUGCUGGGUUUUCUUUUUAGAUUUUGUAGCCUAUUUAUUUCAGUCUCCUGCACUUUGGGGAUGUGAUGGCCUUGCUCCAAGGCUAGAUUGCAGCCUUGCCAUUUGCCCCACGUGUGAAACAUACCAUUCUUAGGUUGCCCAGGGGCAGCAUGGGAGCCAAACUAGGGCUGAGAAAUGCAAACUUGAUCCCGACUGCAGCUUUUCUUUUUGGUUUACAUGAAAAAAGCCAAAGUCCCAGACAAGCGAACCUCAUAUCAAAAAGAUUUCUUUUUCUGGUUAUUGUUUUUCAUCUCUGCUUUGCUGUGCUCAGGGGCAGUGGUGUGCCUGAAAUGCAUCUACUCUGCAAUGCCCUUGUGUGAGAUGGGAAAGGAAAAGCUGUGCACCGGAACCGCUCUCCUGCCUGCUCACAGUGACCUGUUGUACCAGCAGCUUCUGCACAGGAGCAAAGGCUCCUCUAUAAAGUAGCCCACAGCACAAUAACGCUCCAUGGAAUAUCAACGGGGAAUCAGUGAAUACAUUAGCCCGGGCUACUUGGAAGUAGAACUGCAGUUGUGAGAAAUAGGAACGACUGAGCAAGAGGAUCAUUUAAUUCAUUACUGUAAUGUCAUUUUCCAGCACUGGUGGUGGUGGGGAGAAAUUACCUGGCCUGGAAACCUGCUACACAGAAUGUGCUCAGCGGAGAAGCAGAUUGAAUAGGGAAUUACAUUUUCUAUGUCUUUAGAGUGCUGAAGUGGGCAAAUGCUCAAGCUCAGCAGUGAUCGGGAGGAGUUGCAGCCAACAGAAACAGAGGUUUGAAAGUGUCAGACCCCAAACUCUGUCCUAGAGAAGCUGUCUAAUGACUUAUUUUUUCACGUUCAACCCCCAGACCUUCUGGUUGCAAAUUAAAGAGUUCAUGUUUGUACUCACAUGACUUCAGAUGCAUACAUCUUACAUUGGAUCUGAAUGGAGGUCCACUUAUUACUGUUUAUCCAGACACGGGUAGAGCUAAUCCUAUUUACAGGCCUUUAAAACGUGAGCUUUUUAUUGUAAGGCUGGCUUAUUUUAACUGCAGUAUUUAACCUCAGAAAUCUGUUUCUGGGUUGGUUUUUGUUUUUGGGGUAUUCCCCCCCCCCCCCCUUCCUUGAUUGUAUUUUAAAAAAUAUGAGGUUUUAAGUCAAUAAAAGCAAUGAAAAUGUGUACAUUCUUUGGAACGUAUGAUUCAAACAAAUCCAUGAUAUAACCAUACACAGUGGGAUUGGAACCAAGCUGUUUUUAAUUGUUAAUGCUGUUGACUUUGGUAAUGCCUGAAGACCAGCUUUGCUUGGUCAAGUAGAAACACAGAGAUGCGUUUGUAAUCUAAGCAGAUUAUAGAGUGUAACUGAAUUGUAGGGCCCGGUCGGAGGGGGAAUGUAAAGACCAUGUGCAAAGUAUGCGUCAGCAGAGCAUCAAGACGAAGAUCUAAAGGAACUGAUUCCACUUUGUUCUUCUGGCCUCUCUGAAGCCAUGUUGGUCACACGUACAGUUUUAUUUGUUUAUUUGUUUCUUUAUUUCGAGAGUGGAAUUUUAUUUUCAUUGAGUGAUUUUUAGAAAGGGGAGCAGGGCACGUGAACGUGGGGAAAAGCACAGAAACUGGUGUCUUCCCUCUAUCUUUAUGGUGGCAGUGAACGGCCUGAGUACAAAGAAAGGACAUAUGCAGAGGGAAAUUUACUUUUCAGGUCAGCAAAGCUUCCUGCAGGAGCUCUCGGUAUAUCAUUCUCCUGCUUGCUCCUUGCCACGUAUAUAAUUAAUUCAGGCUCAGUGACUGCUUUUUAGCUGAGCUCAGUGUUAGCUGCUGAUUCGGAGAGUGGGGCCAAGCUGUUGACUGCCGCUCUGUUUACUGUUAUCAGAUGUCUUCCCAGUGACUGAUAAUAGUUUAAUUGAAGAAAACAUGGGCUCUGCUGAAAACCCGAGAUUCCCCUGUUUGGGAAGUCUUGAGAAGAAGUGGGAUUUAGGCAGGAGCAAAGAAACCAGGGUUAGCUGUGGAUUCAGAUAGUUCUGAAGUUCAUGGAGGAGGCUGGCUGAGGACAGGGGACAGUGGUGUGUAGAAAGACAUUGCAGGGGGUUCUCCUAAGUUCCAGUGGACCUUUAAGAGUGAGGAAAGUUAUCCUAUGGGAUGGAAGGAAUUUUUUUUUUUUUUUUGUCUAUCUAAAAUAAAGAUUGCUAGGAUCCCUUUUCAAAGCCGUAUGUUAUGAGUGACAUCCCACUGAGGUACCUGAAGGGAGAGGGACUGUAACCCAGUGUGCCCAGUAGGAGAGAGCGCUGUGAGAAAAGAUGGGAUUAAAACAUCAGCUUGUUAAUUUCUUAGGAGAGGUCUUGUGAAGGACUGGGGAAGCUGGGGGUUAUCUCUGUCUGCAGCUCUUUCCAGAAGAGACUGAGCUGAUACUUAUUAAGACCAAAGGAAACCUGAGAGCAUGUGGGUGCAAAGCAUGUCUAGUUAUAACACAAGAGCUGCAGCUGACACUGUUUCCCAGAAAACUUGACAGGUUGAAAUAACAGUGGGAGACUUAUGAAAAGAGUGGAAAGAAAUCUUGUACAAAGAGCUGCAUGGCUGAUUGCAUCAGUGCCUUGAUGUCAGUAAGUCUUCACCAUGAGACGUGCGUGAAGGCUGCGGAGCAUGUAUACACAUAUGGUGGCAUAUUUAUGUCUUGUGAGGCAUCAUUAACAAUAACAACGGGUUUGUUUAAUAAAGACUUCUAGGAGUUAUAUUUCAAUAAAAUGAUCACUAUCAAUCUGUACCUGAGCACACUCGAUUUUCAAAAUCUAAUAUUCACCUCUGUGUUUCAUUUCACAUUUCAUUCCUGUUAGCAGGCAAAUGGAAUUAGACGGAUGCAAGAAAGCACAAGCUGUUUUUAUUUGAGGAAAGAAGGUCAAUUAUACAGUAUGAAAUGAGCAAAAUUCCAAGAGGCUUCAAGCCUUAGAAUCUCAAUUAUUAAUUACUUUGCCUCCCGAGUGUCUGUGCUGUUACAGACAAAGCAAAAUGAAAAGAAGUGCAGGGGUCAGGAGAGUGCCAGAAAACAGCACUCCGCAGCCCGCUGUGGAUUGGGGAAGACCACGGGUUGCAGGGUAGUUCAGUAAGCGUGCUCCACUGCCUGGAGCACUUCCAGUGCCUUUGCACAGAGUGAGUGGCCUGGGCUCAGCUGGGCCUCAGUGCUGUUUCCCAGGGUGGUCUGGGAGAGCCUUUGGCUGGAGCUGCAAGGAAGGACUCUGUUCCAGGCUGGCUUCCUUGUGCCCCUGCUCUUUCCUUUCUCAUGGUCUUUUCUUUGGGGCUUUUAAUGAAAAUGCUGUUAAACCAUCUUCUCUAGACUAGAUUCCAUAUUUGUUCCAGUAUUUUAUAAUUGCACCUACCUGUACCUAACAUUGUUUCCCAAAGUAAAAUGGGAAUCUGAGCAGUGUAAUGCAACUGCAGCGAGGACAAAAUAACGUAAGUUCACUGAAUGACAUUUGCUCUUACCUCUAAGACAAGAGCUUAAUUUCUUUACCCUUUCAUACUUCACAUUUUAAGUUCAGUGCGUAAGCUUUUUACUGUAGUGGAAAGUGGCACAAUCAGCACAUGCAUUCUGAAUCCUUCAGAACCAGGAAGCAUUGGUAUUUUUCUGUUGAGUUCAAAUCCUUUUUCACCUUUUCCUAAAAAUGUUUCCUCAGUUAAAAUUUGCUAUGCUUGUCUCCAGCGUGUGAAUGUUGCCUUGGAUCAUUUGCAAUGAGCAGCUGCAAGGAGAUCUCAGAAAGAGAGAAUAUGCUAAGUAAAUUAGUAGUUUAACUGCACAGCAGUCAGCAGUCUUUCAUCUGCAAUAUUGUGUGCUUGUCUCUGAAUUCGGGGUAAGUUUCCAUAGCUCCAGAAAGCUCCCAGUUUUGAUGUGUGGAAUUCCAAUGAGCAGGAACUUCUGACAGCAGCAUUUCCCAAUAUUUAACCUUCACAAUGUCACUAAAGGCAAGCUUAGAUUCCUCCCCUUCACCCCAUCACCCUUUAAAUUAUUUUCUUCUGUUAACAGCCACUGUUCAGCAAAUCAGCCAUCUGAAGGCAGGGAUUAGGAUUUAUUGUUGAACUAUGCUCAUGUGGAACACCUUAAUGUGAAAGUAACAUCCCUUGGCCUUCUUUAUGUGCAGAGGAUACGUUCUACGGAAACCAUGUAUUACCCAUACACCAGUUGUCUUGGUUUCCACUUGCUUCAACACCACUCUGACGCUGGAGAAUUUCAGGGUAAAGCAGCAGCCAUAUACCUCAACAUGGGUAAUUCCUGAAAUGUAGCCACUACCUGUUCUUAAGUAGGUAUUCCAUAUUUCAGCCUGUUAUUUGCUGCUGCAAUUGCAGGGCUUGGGGGUGUUUUUUUAGUUUGAUUUGGUGUUUGCUUGUUUGUUUCUCUAAGACUUUGUGUCUGUUUUCUUUAAGUCGAAAGAUAUUUAAAGCACUAUAGUAUAUACUGUAAUUUCAUGAUAAUUCAUGACAAGUAGUAGAAUAUGUUUGUUCCUAACAACUUGCCUGUUGUAAGGUAGCACAAACUAGUAGGAUAGCUAUGUGAAACUGGUGAGGAAAAGAACAACACUGUCAAAAACUGUGUUCAAAAUGCGUAUGGAAAGCCCAGCCUCUUUUGAGAUUGUCCUAUGCAGAAUUUCACUGCUCCCUCUUAAAAUAUGUAGGGCAGAGAAGCCCUGAAUUCAAUUCGCAGAUGAUAACAAUAGUCUGAACUGAGCAAAGCUUGUCCCGCUACCUACCUUGCAUAUCGGUUGUAUGAAUAGAGCAGAAUUAGUCCAUUGUGAACAAAAUGCUAGUAAUAAAGAUCACAGAAUAGAUAUUAACUUGUUCUAGCUUUCAGAAACUUCUGAAAAAGCAGAAGUUUUCAGAAUACCAAGUAGUUUCCUAGCUACCCUGUGAAAUGCCACUGUUCUGCUGCAAAAUAUAGUUUACCAAUCUUCUAAUUUUCUUGUUUAGGUACAUGCUGAGCUAUAAUUUAUCAUACUGAUUUGGAGGUUUAUCUGUUGCCUAAUGUAGGAAAAGCAGCAUGCUGUCACCUGUACCUCAUCCAUGACUAUCAGUAAACCAGGUGGUUGUCAAAGGGAAUAUUUUCAUUGUGUUGGUAACCAAGGGAUACAGUGUUUUCAGUAGUUUUGCCACAGCCUACACUGUUAAAAACAUAUCUAUGUCAUAUAUACCAUACAUAUAGCAUUAUUCAGAAAUAUUGGCUUUAAAAGAAAGACAACUUUAGAGAUUUUCUUCUAUCAGGGUAGUGGAUGGGAUGGUUCUACAUGAGCACUUGUGGGAUUUGUGGUAUAUUUUGCACUACAGCUGUUAAAAUGACUCACACAAGCGUCUGCAUCUGUGGAAGAAUUAUCCUACAGCAGUAAUAGCUCCGAAAUCUGUCAUUUUCCUGCUAGAAACUGGAAUUUGAAUGCAGCAUUCCAACUGCUAAUGGAUAUUCAGGGCCCUUCCGGAGAGAGUCUUGAUUAGUAGAUGACAGGCUAACAGGAGAGCUGUGUUUUAUGGUUAAGGGAGUUAAACCAAGCUCACGCUGCCUUUUGGAUGGAGGGCAGGCAGGAUCACUCAGAGCCUUCACAGGAAGUAGCUGGAGAGGAAUGCCACCAUGAUUGAUGAAGGCGGCCCAUUAUCAAACACUUUGUGCAAACUUUCUUCUAAGCAAAUCACAGCGCUUAUACAGCGCUCGAGUGGAGAAUUAAUGGUGGUUUUUUUUUUCCUGGAAAUAUGUCAAACAGCAUCCAAAAGGAAAAUUAAGAAGGAAAAUUGAAUGAUGAACUUAAACUCAUCACAUGGCAGAUGUUCCCUUUGAGUGUAUCUGCAUUUAUUGCUUGGUAAAUAACAUUUUGCUCAUGAAAAAGAGCCACAUAAGUUACAAGCUUUUUCUCUGAAGUAAAUUUGUAUAUAAGUUGGUUAUUUUCAUCUGACUUCCAAUAUUGUGAUUUUCUUUUCUUAUCCUUUCAUUUUCUCUUCUUGCUUGCUGUUAGCAUUUGAGGGGUUGUCUGUCCCCUGUGUAAGGAAAUCCAAGACAGGGCAACAAUAAUUUUUUGUUCUUUCAGAUAGAAAGAUGUGAAGGCGUUUGGGCUCGCAGAGUUCAUUUCACAAAUCCUUCCAAGCAAGAACAGCACAAGCAGCCAUCCCGAGCUUUACAGAUUGCACAAUCCCAGGGAGUGCGGCAGCCUGGCAUGCAAAAAGGGAUGCAUUAUCCCUGAUUGAUGUAGCUGGGACUUGUUCUAUUGAAUGGCUCUGUACAUCAGGUUCAAGGUUUUCAACACUAACAGAUGUGGGCUGGAAUCUACUAGGACCUUACAAUAAUAUCCACAAGGAACUGUGCAAGCAAAUGAACCCCUUCUAGUUACAGAAAUGCUAUUAAAUGUUUCUGAGCAGCCAUGUUUUGCACAAGCUUGAACCUCCACAAUGCUUCUAGGGACUCAAUGUAGUGAGUGUCUGAAUCAGUGCUGAGGGGACACUAUCUGUGAAUAAAGGAUCAAGUUUUAAGCCACAUGCAGGCUGGAGAAUAGCUUUCUGUAGGUAAUUAUUCUGGCUAAUCAUCCUUAUUAAAUUAUGACUAAAGCAUGAUUCUAAGAUUCCCAUCAUGCUGAAAGCAAAGGUGGGGAAGCUGGAAAGGAAAGAUGGGAAGAUGCUAGCUGGAAUGGGAAGACACUCCUUCCCCAGGAAGUCCUCUAUAGAAAUAUUCAUGGGCUCAUUCAGGUUUAUUUUCUGCCAGGUGUUCUUUUGUGCAGGAAACUGAUACUCCCAGCAGUCCUGAAUAAUGAGGAUUUAUACAUCUUCUUUUAGACUGUGAAAUCACUUGUGAUCUGUGAGACAGAAGGGAGAUCAGGCUGAGCUCCUUUUAUCUGACACCAUGUUUCUGUGACCUACAUGUCUUGUGGCAGAUACCUUGAGUGUCCUAAUGCGUUGGCCUCCAUAUCUAUAGACUGAAGUACGUGGUACGCCAAGCCAUGCUAAGUGUUGGUUACCUGGGUGAGCUGUGUAGGGAUCCCAAGUAGGCCAGAAUUCAGAGGGUAAAGUGCACCAUUGCUGCCUUAAGGUAAGCUAGCUGAAAACAGCUGAAAAUGUUGCCACUAUUCAGAUAGCAUUCAGCAGCUGUCUCGUUGGCUCCGUACAAAAGUUCCCUGUAUGGCUUCCCGAGUCACAUAACAUGUGCAAUACAAUUUGAAGUGUGGUAAAGGUCCUUUAGAAAUUUCUUUAAUAGAACAAAAUGAAAGAAUCUAAAGUUCAAAGACCUCGGAGGCUAAUACAGAAAUUUUCCUUGCAAAUAUAAGUACUGGAAGAUAAUCCCAGAAAAGAUCAGAGAUGUUUGUCACGAAAUCUUUGCUGAAAAUCUAGUGGCUGAAGGCUUACAUAUAUCUCAUGUUUCCUUGCAAGAGAGGCUGAAUGUCUAGCGGGAGGUAGGCCGUUCUUUCAGUGGCACUACAAAGAAGCUUGUCUUUGGAUUACCUCCCUAAAUAUAAGCAUUUAACAUUCUGCUCCAUUUUCUGGUGUGUAUUUGUAACCUCCAUCAGAUGCAGACAAGGUUUCAUGGGGGCAACUUUUUCCCUCUUAUGCAUCAUUCAGCCUGGAGAAUUCCAAAUUUCUGUAUUACCCAAGUCUAGCUUAAAGGUAACCCUGUGUUCCUAUCCCCAAGAAGUUCUUUCAUUAACGUUCUCCCUUCUUUCACCACGUUGCCAUGUGACUGCAUGUCACCUGGAGCUGUUCUCAUCACCUCUUAGCUCUCUUGCACACUCCAUUAUCUUUUCCUUUUUUUUGCUCAAUGCUUUCUGAAGUUUAUUUGCUCAUCCUUCUCCGGGGCUCUGGCUCUGCAAGGCUUAAACUAUAUGGUCAAAAUGAUUCCUUUCUGAAUGGGUCAGUUAAUCUGGUCUCCACAUGCUCAGGCAUAUGCUGUUGUCUUUCAAAAGCUUAUACCUGUCUCCUGUAGCACUAAAUUUGCAUUGUAAUGCAUUAAUUGUUAAAACAUUGUGCAUUAAUUGUUAAAACAUCGUUAAAGUUAUUUAAGCAGCUAGCAGUAUCCUUGCUUUCUGGAUGGAGACGUAUGGAUAAAAGGAGAGGCUGUUCACACGACAGGAUUUCGGGUGAUAACUUAUUGUGUUUUUUAUCCCUAAGAUUUAGACUCUUUGCAUCCAUUGUGCCUUUGAAAACUGCUCUAGAAGCAGAGUACCCAGAGCAGCGUGUAAAUACUGCAGUGGGAAGCACCAUGCCCGUGCUCAGCACUGUGCUGGUUAUCAUUGUCACAGGUGGGCAGCGCGGCUGACGGUCAGCUCUGACAAGCAGGCAGGAGAGCCUGGAGCUGAGGGACCAGCAGCCACUGAGCUACUCUGCUCUGGCUAGAGAUGGAAAGCCUUUUCUAAAAGCAAAGUGACAACAGGUGGUUUUUGAGAGAUUGACGUGGGCUGGCACAACAAAAGCCUUUCAUGCUGUUCGUGUGUAUACAUUUAAGGCUGUUUUAAAACUUUAAGUGAGAGCUGGGACGAUCUGCAACAGAUGUCCCCAAACCAACAUACAUUUUAUCAGCCAAGGGGCUCUCCUGUCCUUGCCUGCUCUCUAGGAAUCCCUGGAAGGUUGUCUGAUUUUAGUUUUGGUUUCAAGAUGUGCAUUCCAACCACGAGUUGCACGUGCAAAUGCUUGGAGCACUUUCAGGGUCAGUCUGUGUGGAGUGAGGAUGAGGAAGGAGGGAGCAUGAGGUACCCUUUGCUUAGCAUAGUCUGUCCCAACAGCACAGAGGGCAAUAAAUGAACUCAAAAGAAGCUUUUAGAAGAGUGCUGCAUUACUGGGUAGUGGCCAAAUCCUCUCUGUUCUGCUUGACUCUGUUUGAUUUCUAACAUUUAUUAGCGCUUUGAAAUUUGUAAGCGACUUUGUCUUUUAACUUUUAAUACUGUUUCCCAACUACGAUGGCCAGGCCUUGGGCUUCAGUAUCUUCUGGCAGAUUCUGCCACUUAAAUGUCUUAUGAGGUACCUCUCCUGCUUGAACCUUCAACAAAGGAUUGCGGUGGGGGGAAAUAAAGGUUUGGAACUUCUCUCUCUCUCUUUUUUUUUUUAUAGUUCUGUUUAAUCCGACCUCUCCCUAGAGCUGUCUUUAAUUUCAGGAGGCAUGUGGCAGAAAUACCAUGUGUUUAUUGUCUGAUACAGUGGAAUUUCCCAUGAGAGUAGUUUGUCUCUCCUUUCGAAGUGAAGGAUAGCAGUAAAACAAGGAGGAGCCAGUUGUUACAGUACCAUUUUAUAUCAAUGUAGUUAGCUACUUCAGAUUCCACCUCACUCCUGCCAUUAAGACUGCAAAAUUACCAGGUAAAACAGGAUGUGGGCCUGCUAUCUGUGUGCAAUGAGAACAGAAGGUUUUCUACAAAUAAAUGUUCAGAGGAAAUUUAAAGAGACUUAAGAUGUGUCUUUAACCAUUUCAGCUUUUCUAGCCCAUACACAUUCAAUCUACAGCCUACAAGAUCUGGAGUAUUACCCUGCUCCUUCCUUUUUGCUGCCAGCACUUCAUGCCCACAGCCAUACUUCUUCCACCAGCAACGCUUUCUCCUGUAUCCAUAUUCCCACACAAUGCCCCUUUCCUACCUCACUCAUACAGUCAUACUGUCUUCUACUUCCCACUACUUCUUUGCAAUUCUCAUAAUUUCUGCUUAAUUGAAAAACAAACAAACAAAGCAAACAAACAACUCCAACACCUGUGCAUGGGAUCAUAAACAGAUUUUCUACAGCACUUUCCUUAUCCUGCUUCUGAUAGGAAGACUUCCAGUUUAAAUAAUCUUUACUUACAAAAUUCAUUUUCUGCUAGAUUAGAUUCAAUUUGUGUUCUUCAUCCUUCUCACUCUCCAUGUAUAAAAGAUGGUGAUUUUUUCUUGCACCCAUUCUGGUGUAUUACUAGGGAGCUUUCACAAACGGCAAUAACAAAAGGCCUUGUAUAGAGAGCGUUGUCUAAAAUAGAAAUACAGAUUUUGAUUAGUUAUUCCUUCUAGCAGUAACUAGCUGAUUUGUUUCUGAUGCCAGGCUUUGUCAGUUCUGCUUGAUUGUAGGACCAUUAUGUGCACCUGAAGAAGACCCAAACCUUAGUGCUUCAAAUUGCCACCUGGUGGUACUGCACGUUGAAUGUACCGUUCGGUCUAUGGCAACAUCCAAAAAUAAAAUCCUGUCUAGAUGACAGCUUUGUGAAUGACAGAAGAUGAUCUUGAUGUUCAAACAAAGCAUCAUCAUCCUGGCUUGUGAUUUAAAUUUUAUGUUUAUAAAUGCAAAAAAAAUUGCAAAGAUUUUGCAAACCACUGCCUAUUUCAAUUUAUUUAUGUGACAUUUUUGUUUCCUCUUUUUUGACAGCUAGCCCUUCACAUUUGCUCACAAAUAACUUAAAAAAUCAGAUCCAUAUGACUUCUUUCAGACAACCUCUUUAGAAUCUACUUAAUGAUAAACAGAAGGGAGGUUCAGAUGGUUUGAAUAUAAGUUCACUUCUGAAUAAUCAUGUAUUUAAUUGCACUGCUAAAUUGAGCAAUGGCUUCCAGUCAGCAAUCGCAUGUAAGUGUCUCUCUGCUUGACUUCACAUUUGGGUGAGUUUUUGUUGGGCGUGGGGGACUGAUCCAACAGAAGGAAACUUUGGAAGGCAUGCUAGGAGCACCAUGACACACAAAAGGCAAGCUAAAUAUGGGGAGAGUCAUUAGUGCCUAUUACAGGCUGUAGAAGGAAGGAGAGGAAAAGGGGAGAAAUGGGUCUUUUGUGGAAUGGAGGAAUACUCAAAGCUUUGCCACUUGUGGGGGGAGCUGCUGGCAGAGGGCAGUGGGGAAGGCCCCAGGUGUUGUAGCUGCACAGGUGAUGCUGAUUGAGCAGAGGGUAGUGAUCAGCAGCUGGUAGGGUGCAGCUGUGAAAAAGGGAUACAUGUAGGCUGCAGUGCUUCAGGGGAUGGCCAGUAAGUGCCAGGAAGGUGACUGCCUGAUCUGUAGUGUAUGAGUUGGAUUCUCUGCUUUUGAAAAAGGAUUUCUUUGGAACAGCCUUGCGCAGCAAGUACAAGAGGCCCCUCUUCACUAUGCUCCCAUGUGCUAACUGGAUGCUAGUACGGACUGCUUCUGCCAGUUAACGUCAUGUUAAGGGAGAGCAAUUUAUCAAGGAAGUCAUGUGAGAAACCUUCUGUGUCAAAUGGUAAGUGUGAGCUUGUUCUUCAGAUUUGUCUCUCCUGCUGCUGUUUUACUGGAGAAGUUUAGUCUUGAAUUGGCUUGGGUACUCUAGUAAAAGGGUUGAGCUUAGCAGGCAAAAGGCAAGGAAGAAUAUUUACUAAAAAUAAUGACUAGUGAUUUAGUUAUUUUUGGUAGGUGCUGUUUACUUCAUUGUUUUCUGAUGUUGUGGUGUGAGUAAAUUGUACGUAAUUUAGUUCAGUGCAGUUAUACAAGUUCAUCUAGUUCUUGAUAUUGUAUUUAGAGUCCCCAACAAGUUAUGGAAUAUAGCAAGUAUUCUUUUUUUAAAAAAAGCACUCCAGCAGAGUUAAGUAUGUUGUUAUGCCCUUAAUUUUGUCUUUUUCUUUCUGCGUGCAAUCAUUUCUAUUAUUUUGCCAUCAUUACGUGGUGUAAUGGGAGUAAGCUGAAACACUCGAAGCACAGAAUUGUGUUCGUAGAGAGAUUUUUUAGAAGGAAAUGAAUUGUGGUGGAUUAUUAUCCAAAGUACACCAGCAUACACACAGUAUCUUCCCUGUUAAGUGGUACAACAAAUGUAUUCAUAAUUAAAUGUGUGAUGCAUGGAGUAAUUCUCAGGGGAACCAUUUCAUAUCAUUAAUUUCUAAUAACUGAAUUACUCUAUAAUAUCAUAUCACAAAGAAGAUAAGUACUUUGAAUGGUAGUGGCUAAUUCUUCCGCUCCAUAUCAAGAACACAUCCAUACAGAAGUGGCUUCUUGCAGGGGGGAAUGAUGCCAGUGAAACGUUGCAUCCUAUUUGAACCAAUAAUGCAGGGUUUCUUCCUCCGGGUCUCUAUUAGGAGUGCCAAAGAGUGUGUGAUUUGGGUCCAGUUAUGAUUUUAUUUAUGUUUUUGCAGCUUCUGGGUCUGAGUAACAAAAGAAUUCGGCUUCUUAUUAUUUUCAGCUCACUUUGAAAUCACAGUACAUGAGAAUUCUUUGAAGUAAGUCUUCAGCAAGCUGCUGAAAGUAACACUUUUUCAUUAAAACAUAAGUCUUCUGGCUUACAGUAUAUUCAAGUUCCUUGUACGCUCUGUAAGAGCUAAUAGGAGGCCUGAUUAAAAAUGCAGAGAGCUUGUCAGAGUGCAAGAGGAGAUUUACACAGCUUCUGGGCAGCUUUCUACACAGAAAACUGAGGCUUUCCUUUCACGGUGUUAUUUUACUUCUUCCAUUUCUCCCCACCUACUUUUCCGUUAUCUCGUAUGGUGCUGGUCAUAACAAUGGAUAUAUGGUGAAUGUCAGUUAAAAGCCAAGUCCCUGUCUAUUAUAACUAAUGAAAAUAUAUUGAAUUUAAUAUAGCUGGUUGGAGAUGUUAGUUUCUGACAGUAAAUGAUGGCUCAUAAUAAUUAUGGUCAUUAUCAUGCAAGUUCAGUGUGUUCUUCAAGCUCAAGGUACUACUAGUAUUUGAGACUUGAGAAAAAUACCCCAAACCUUAAGCUUUUUUUUUUUGAAGAAAAAACUAAGCCUUUUUGUAAUGCUGCUGCUUGGGCUAACCUCUGUGUGAAAACGUCGUCCAUAUGCAGCUCAGUAAGCUGGGAAGGGACUAUUGGGCUUUUGUGGGGAGCUGGAGGAAUUGUGGCAUGUCGACUUAGUUCAUUUUUUGCUUCUUCCCCAUCUUUUUAAUCUUACUUUUCUCUCCAUUUCAUAUGUGUUUGGAGGAUGGACGGAGGGUCAGCACAGCUGGUUCAGGAUUUGGGGCCACAAAGGUCCUCAUUGGGUGUAUGGGAGGAGAUGAAGGACAAAGAACAGAGAGCUAAGCAGAGCUUUUCUGAGUUGUUAGGAUAUAAGUCAAAAUACUUCAGUUUUUCUGUUCUUGAAAUUAAGUGGAAAGAGGAGUUCCCAUGAAAAAAAAAAAUACCUUUUUUUUUAUUGUGAUAAAUCAAAGAAGUGAGGCCAGCCAGAAUUUCUUAAAGUAAAGGAAAAGGCUCUUUCCUACAGCAGGAAAAAACCAAGCAAACUAAAAGCUUAUUUGUUUUCAAUCCAGGAGUGGGGGUUUGGGGAGGAAAGCGUAUCUGUUUAUAGUGGGAGGGAACCCAGGCUGCUCGUUCUUUCCUCCCAGGCAGCUGGCAGAAGCUGUUCCACCUUGAAUUAUUCUCAGUGACUUUAUGCAGGGAUGUGGUCUGGUGUGGACUUCUGUUAUGCUGCUCGUUUCUUUCAUAGAAGUUUGCACAUAACAUUUAAUGUUGUUAUUACUUUGUAGACGUGCUAAUAGCUUAGUAAUGCAUUUUCAGUGUUUAUCCAAGGAAAAAUUCUAUAGAAAUGUAAAUUUCUCAGUUGCUCUUUCUGAAAUGUGUGUUUUUAGAACUCCAGAAGUAUGGCCCAUAGGAUGUUACUUCUGCUUCAUGUUCUGCCUCUUCCAGUACGUUAAAUAAUUUGAGCUAUUUAAAAUAUGGAGUGGGAAUUCCCAGAGGUCUUAUGGAAAAUAUUAUCCUGAAGCUGAAUGUAAGCUAAUUAUCCUUUUUUAAUAAAUCAAGUUGUUUUUUAAACAAAACGGAGGAAAAAAAAAAGGGGUGUUGGACAAAAUGCUUUGCCUUGUGAGGCUAAGUGGGAUUUUUGCGUCUUCCGGCCAAUUUCAAACAAUUACUGACUUUAAAAGCAAAAUUGGCUCAAAAUACAGCUUAAGUAUUUUACCUAGAAGUUCAGGGAGAGCCAGGUGAUGUUUCAUUUCAUAAAUGCACAGCUGUAUAUGUUUGCUGGCUUGUUUAGUGGUGAUCAGUGUAAGUCAACAGAUGAGAAGCACGUUGAGAUGUGGUGCUGCAAGAUGAGAGCCAAACUCUUCCCAAGAGUGCUUAUGACCUGGAAGUGGGGUGGGUGAUUUCAUGGGUGUUUGAUUACUGUUGGUUGGGGUGAGCAGAAGAGGAAAGACUAGGUUUAAAAACAAGAGGAAAGAGGAAUACGCAUGGAGUGGCAGAGUAAUGUCAAGAUGAGGUGCUGCAUUGAAGGUAGGAGACAACUCAGAGCAGGGAUGACUUUCUGAGCCAAUGCAAUCGUUCCCUCCAUGAACUACUCUGCAGUUUCUGCUAGGUUUGCUCUGCCAGCUAUCAUCUCCAUCUGUUUCUUUUCCAAGGAAGGAGUUUGUGCAUCUCCUGUGAUGAUACGUUAAGGGCUGAGCUUCUUGUUUGGUUAUUUUAAAAAUGCCAAAAUGUAACAACUAAAAACCCUUCAAAGCUUAGGAACUUGUUAUCUUAAAAUGACAAAAUGAAGGAAUUUCUCUGUAGUGAAAUUCAGCUGUCCUGUACAAAACACACAGGAGGAAGAGCACAAGAGCAUAGCUUUAGCUUAGUGCAGUUUUUCAUUGUUGCACUUCCCUGAACUCAACAGGAGAAAUGGUUUGAGGUGCUGUCACCUGUAACUUCUGUCUUACAGAGGAAGAAUUUCUGGGAUCCUAUCGUAAGAAAACCUUGGGGUGUAUUGGCUAUCAAGACCAGUGGUCCAAGUCAAUCUCUUAGCAGCUGCUGAAGGCUAAUACCUGAAUACUGAUGUCUUUCUGAAAUUGGACUUUGGACCGUUAUUCCUUUUUCUGGUUUUUAUUCUUUUUUUUAAUCAGUCCAUGAUAGCAGUAAUUCAGAUACAGUAAUGUACAACUCCAACUGUCAAACCAAUUACAUUCUACAUUCUUCUAAAAAUGUAAAAGGCUGGAAAUGUUGUACCUGCUUGUUAAAUAUUUCCAGGAAGCUAUCAUGCUUUUUGUCAAAGCUCCCUGAUUUCACAAAAUGUUUGUGUGAGUAAUGGACUAGAUUACUUCUAGGAUGUGAAAACAGCAUUUAUAAUUUUCUUUAGUAAGUUCAGCUCACGU